Molecule: long non-coding RNA, 51858 nt
Filed under: Sorghum bicolor (sorghum)
Lineage: Eukaryota; Viridiplantae; Streptophyta; Magnoliopsida; Poales; Poaceae
Description: long non-coding RNA (SBIC_LNC013855)
Source: RNAcentral
CAUGAAUGCCUUGGAGAGGAUCCAGAAAUACCAUAAAGGAGAGACUUGAAAGAGUCAUACAUAGGAAUCUCUGAGUUUUAUUUUUGAAAAUCUUACAAAGCUCUAGAAUAAUAGUUGAUCAAAGAGCUUGAAACAUGGUGCUUGACUUGACCUUCUGUCUUUCAACUACUUAAGACCCAAGUGACGGCUACAAGCCCCAUGGUGGACGGUAAUAUAAGUAAGUUUUUCAUGAAGAUAGUUCAUUCUAAUCCAGACAAUAAUUAUUAUUUGAACGCAUGUGUACUUAUAAGGCAUGAAAGCAUUGUAGCAACUCCUGAUCCACCAUUGAGUCUAUUUUGCUCAGGGACGAGCAAAAGGUAAGCUUAGGGGAGUUUGUUAAUGGUAGAUAAGUGUCAUUUUUAACCGUCAACAUAGCAUGAGAAAGGACCUAAAACAUAAUUGCAAUCUAGAUAUAGGGGUUACAUUAACAGAAUUCCAUGAGUUUUGGUGAAUGUUUAUUUUUGCAGGGUGUUUUUAGAAAAUGACCAAAGGAGGCCCACAUGUCUUAUUUACAUAGAGAGAAAAGGGCCAUGUAUAUAAAAAGAAUAAUCUAGAAGACUUGGAAAGCAAUCCCCUGGGAGGUGGGACCCACCUGUCACUAUGAUAGGUGUGAGCGCCCACCCCCCUAGGCGGUCGUCCCACCUAGGUGGCCAAUCACGAGCCACCUCACGGAUCAUGCCUUCACCACCUUCGAGGAUCAAUAAUAAUCGUUCAUCAAGGUCGGUUUGAUCCAAGGGUUUUGGUUCUUCCUAGAGGGCUAUAUAAGCAAGGCUCCUGGCCCCAAGAGAAACCCUAACUCAUUCCAAUUCAUUCAUCAUUCAGUCCAAGAUUUAGAGAAAUUAGUCCCAGAGCCACUAUCUCAAUUAGAUCUCUAUAGUUUAGUAGCAGCUACAUAGGAUUAGAACUAGAAGGAAGCAAGCAUCGCUUGGUUUCCAGAUCUGUCAAGAAGAUUCUUAGUAAUUCUCUCCUACUUUUAUAUUCAUUAUUGUAUUAUUCAUCUAGUUCAUCAUUUGUUUGAAUAUGACUUUACUCUAUUCUAUCAUAUUGGAUAUGACUUUGCUCUACUUGAUUAUGUUCUCAAUUAUAUUGUUCUUAGUCUACUUUGAUUAUAUGCUUGGCAUAGUUAGAUUAAAAUUAUAUUCAAGUGUAGGAUCAUAAAGCGCUUGCUCAUUGAAUUCAUGGGUGAGUGGUAAAUAUUGUGUAGGCGUGGUGCUUAUACCAUAUUUUCCUGUGAUUGCACUCUAUAUUUUAGACCAUGUGGUAGAUCGCGGGAGUGACAGUCCUGUUGAGUCAAUCGUUGUCCACCUCCUGAGUAUAGAGCAGACAAACCACAACUAUUAUAGGGAAGUGAUUGCUAUGUUCUUCAUAUUCCUUUGUCAUAUCACUAUGUAUAGAUAUAACAUCUUCUCGCUAUGAUUGCCAACUGUAAUUGCACUAGUCAUUGUAUGCUUUGACCUUAUAGUUAGAAUAACUUAGGAUUUAUCCUUGUAGUUUGUCCAAACCCAUGCUAGUGUUAUAAGCUUAGAGUAAUCUAUUGAAAUCUUCAUCAUAUAUUAUGUGGCUAUGUGCUUAUCUCUUAUUAUUUACUGUUCAUAUAUUAUUUAUCUUGUGACACUCUGUGUGAGAAGUUAGAUAAAGACAUGGUUAUACUCUCCAUUAUCACAUGCAGUGGUGCUCAUUGCUCAUUAUCUUAGCAUUUCCUUCCCAGUGGUAAAAAUAUAAAUAACGAUACCUUACUCCUGGUUAAAAUGCUACAUCGAUAUUAUCUAUGCGCUUGUGAAUUUCAUAUUCAUUCUAGAGCAUUUGCAUUUAUUAAUACCAGCACCUCUGGCGCCAUACUGGGAUGACAACCUAGCUUAGGUGGUGUUUGAGUUGUCAAUAAGCGUCAUGAGGAGAGAGAUGCACCGCUCUGGUCCAUCUCAUAGGGAAGGGAGAGAUCACUAGGUGCGCCGCUCUAGUCUGAAUAGAACGGCUAUUGGGUCUCUAAGUGACGUGAGAAAGAAAAGUGAAUAGAAAAGCCUUAGUUUCAGUAUUUAUACUCGAACAGCUAUUGGGUCUCACCAAGGCUUUUGGGGCUUCAGUUUUUUUAGAGGCGAGCCUUGUAGCGUGCCCACUUCCGAAAAUUAAUUUACGGAGGUGGGUUUCUUUAGAUGACUGUCUUUGAAAAUUUGUCAUUUUUGGAGACGGAUAUUUUAAGAUGUCUGCCUCCAUAAAUCUAUUUCUAGAGACAGGCAAAAAUGACCGUCUCAGAAAAUAAAAAAAUGCCCGCCCUCCGUUAAUCAUAGACAUUAACCAAGACAGUUGAAUUUUGUGACCGCCUCUAUUAAUAAAAAUGCACAUCUUGUAAAAUAGUAGUGUUUUUUCCUCAAGGACACAUGUUCUUACCUUCACACAUCUAUUAGAUUCGCAGUAAAAAAUAUGCAAACAUACAUCUUAAUUCAACUUUGUAUUGAAAUAUGUAUAAUACAUAUCUCAAUGUGAAUUCAAUAGAUGAUGACAAGGUGAAGCAUGUGUCCUCACGGGAAAAAAAAUUACCAUACUUCGAUUUAUUCUUAAUGACUGGUCGGUAUCACACGAGCGACAAAAUGGCACACCCUCAUAUCUGGCCUCAGCUUUUUUGAUUCGUUUGACUUUGACUAGUUGGUGUGGCGGCAAAGCAAGCGACACGUCGCCCCUCUUCACGCUUAUAAAAAAACGGAGAACCAGUUGAAGCCAUACUUAGCUUGUUCUUGGGAUCGAGCAGGAUAUCGAUCAGGAUCGGACAGCUUUGCUAGGUUAUUAGCAAGCAAGCCUUGCACACUAGGUGUUGAUUGGGACACCAAUCGAUAUACUCUAUGGCUUUGCAAGGCCUUGUGGACUGGAGGGGACACCCGGUUAACCAGAAAAAGCAAGGUGGAGUGAGAGCCAGUGUCUUCAUCCACUGUAAGUAUAUAACAACAUACAUGCUCCUAAUACUUAAUUUAGUAAAUGUUGAGAGGUCCACUUUUGAAACUAAAAUCUAGCUACUUAUAUAUGUAUAUAUAUGUUGCUGACACAUAGGGUAUGUUCCACUGUGUUUACAGUCCUCAUUGUGAUGUCGAAUAUGGCAAAUAUACCAAUGAUUAUGAACCUAGUGACCUACUUGCAUGGGACGAUGCACAUGGACGUGAAGGACGCAUCCACCACCUCCACAAACUUCUUCGGCGCCAUCUGUUUCUUUUGCUUCCUGGGUGCCUUCAUCUCCGACUCCUACAUCAAGCGCUUCUACACCAUGCUCAUCUUUGCCCCAAUCGAGAUCUUGGUAACUACUAGUACUACACAGCAUACCAUAUGCAUGCAUCACAGAAUUGAAGUACUGCAUCUAUUUUAAACUUUUCGCAAAUAUCCAUUUCAUUAAAAACAUACAUGAGUUUGAUUUUGGACAAAGCUACUUUUCCUCAAAACUUCUAAAACUAUGAAAAAUUAAUAGCAUCUUGCCAUAGAUAUAUUGAUUGAAAACAUAGAUAAUUAUUGUCCUUUUUGCUUUGCAUGCCAUGGGCAGGGGUACAUGCUCCUAGCAUACCAAGCACACGUCCCGUCGCUCCACCCGCCGCCGUGCGACAUGAUCAACAACCCCAGCGAUUGCACUCCGGUGAGCGGUCGCAACCUGAGCCUGCUCACGCUGGGCCUAUAUCUGAUCCCUCUCGGCGAGAGCUCGCUGCGCACGUGCGCGGCGGCGCUGGGCGGCGACCAGUUCGACGAGGACACCCCGUCGGAGCUUCCCGGCAAGAUCAGCUUCUUCAACUGGUUCGAGAUCAGCAUAUCGCUGGGAGCGAUGGUUGGGGUCGUCUUCUUGGUGUGGGUGCAGGACAACGUCGGAUGGGACCUCGGCUUCGCGCUCGCUGCUCUCAUGGUGCUCGCCGGCACGCUCGGCGUCGCCGUCGGCCUGCCGUUCUACCGGCACCAGAAGCCUGCCGGCAGCCCCAUCACCAGAAUCCUUCAGGUACGUAUAGUACAUACGUACGUUCAGCCGUCUGCCGUCUUCCAGUCGUGUGGAAAAAAAAUCUUGAUGAGAUUUUGUCCUGGCCUGCAGGUUUUUGUGGCGGCGUUUAGGAAGAGGAAGCUACGGGUGCCUGAGAAUCUGAUGGAGAUGCAUAACAAGGUCACUGACGGCACUGGCACGAGCGUUGAAUUUGUGGACAGAGCUACUGGUGGCUUCAUGUAAGGAGGGCUUUUCUUGUCUGAUUCUUUCAAUCUCAACGUCGUGCAAAAAUGAAGGAAAGCAACAAAAUUAUAUAUAAGGACAAGAAUCAAAGUGGCAAGAGUUCAGUAAAUUUGGGGCACUUGUCAGUUGUCACUGUCAAAAUUGUUUUUUCUUUCUUUCAUGGACACUGCCUAGAACGUCGGCCAUACAAUGUCCUAGAACGUCGAAUCCGUUCGCUUGUCUUAUUGUAAGUCAACAGUGUUUUUUUUUUUCAAUACACCAGCGAACAGUUUAGCCAUUACUAAUCAGAUGUGACAUAUCUUAGCAUCACUAAAGGGCUGUUUGGAUUCGCUAGUGGUAAUAGUUAGCAACUAAAAUUAGUAAGGUCAGCCUCAAUGCAUAUUUCAUAAGAGUGUCAUGCAUAUUAAAUAGGGUGUCAUAUAAGAAAAGUUGCUGAUUUGACAGGGUCAUUAAAUAAAGGAGUUUCAUCAGAUGAGAGAGAAGUUUCAUCCCUAUGAAACUCAUAUGGUUCGAUUACUUAGUUUAUAAUCUUGGUAACUAUGUCAUGAAACUAUGUAUCGAGACUGGGUGGAUCUAAACAAUCUUUACUUUACUAAUAAUUAGCUUGGGCUCCAAAUUUAUCCAUUAAGUUUUAUCCUUGUCUCUUUUAGAAUAAUUAUCCCCGUUUGGAUGAGAGAAAAACUAUACUGUUCGCUGAUUUAUUGUAUGUACUUAGGGCACUCCCAAUGCUAGAAACUACAUAGAGUUUCUAUACCUAUUAAUUUUUAUAGACACUAUAUAUAGAAACUAUGGUCCCAAUGGAUAGUUUGUAUAAAAUAUUUUUUUAUCCAAUCACAUUCAUUCUCUCUCCAUUCUCAGCCAAUCAUUUCACUUCAUGUCUUAGAUUUUGUGUAGCCAUGUUUUCUAACUUAGACUCAGUUUCUUUGAUUUUUGUUCUCUCUUCAAUAACUACCUUGCCACAUCAGCAAAAUACUUAGGUGGUAUUACAAUUAAUGUCUAUAAAAAUCUUGAUAGUUUCUGCAUUAGGAGUGCCCUUAUACUGUUAGUGACUACGGCGGCAACCUCCUUUGAAACUAGUAAGGCCAGUCUCAAUGGAGGUUUCGUUAGAGUUUUAUGCAUAUUAAAUAUGCUGAUGUGGCGCUAUAUUAAUGAAGAGAGAUAUGAUAAGAAUUUCAUGGAAGUAGAGAGAGUUUCAUCCCCACGAAACUCCUAUGUACUAUUUUCAAAAUAUGGAUAUGUUGAAAACUGUGUCAUGAAACUCUCAUUGAGAAUGACCUAAUGCGAAAGGGUGCUUUCUCAAUUCACAUUUGUGGAUGAAAUGCUCUUUUUUACUUUUCAAACAAAAACAGUUCACUUGUAUACUACUUACAUUUUUGGAGCAACGAAUGAUGUAAUUUCAACCGUACCAAGCUUUGGGUGUUUUAUUGUCCGCUUGUUGUGUUUAUUUAUGAAUCAUUUUCUGAAGGCCCCUUGUAAGAGCUGCCGUGACUUUGACCUUUUUUUUUCGGUCCAAGGUUCCUUGACAAGGCGGCGGUGAACGACGGCGACACGCGGGCGUGGUCGCUGUGCACGGUGGCGCAGGUGGAGGAGGCCAAGACCAUCCUUCGCAUGAUUCCCAUCUUCCUCGCCUCCAUCCUCGCCUACAUCCCGUUCUCGCUGCUGCUCUCGCUCACCGUGGAGCAGGCAGGGACCAUGGACACCCGGCUCGGCGGCAUCGCCGUCCCGCCGGCGAGCCUCACCGUCAUCCCCGUGACGGUCCAGGUCCUCAUCCUUCUGGUCUACGACCGCGCCGUCGUGCCGUGGCUGCGGCGCGCGACGGGGUACGCCGGCGGCGUCACGCACCUGCAGCGCGCGGGGGUCGGGUUCGCCUCCAGCGUCCUGGCCAUCGCCACGGCCGCCGUGGUCGAGGACCAACGCCGCCGACGCAGGAGGAGCGGCGGGCCGCCCGUGUCGGCGUUCUGGCUGGCGCCGCAGUUCGUCCUCCUCUGCGUCCUGGACGUCACCUCCUUCGUCGGCCUGCUCGAGUUCUUCUACAGCGAGGUGUCCACCGGCAUGAAGUCCAUCGGCGGCUCCGUCGUCUUCUGCAUCCUCGGCGUCGCGUCGUGGCUCGGCAGCUUGCUUAUCCAGGUGGUCAACGACGUCACCGCUCGCCGUGCUGGCCAUGGGUGGCUCGGCGGCGCCAACCUCGACGCCAGCCGCCUCGAUCUCUUCUACUGGCUGCUCGCCGUGCUGGGGCUCGUCUCGUUCGGUCUCUACGUGCUCUGCGCGUGGAGCUACACCUAUAGGCAUGAUCCCAGAAUGCAAGCCACCACUACAAUGGAUAGUUCUGAAGUGGCUGAUGAUCAACACACCUGCUGAUCAGUAUCGAGUUGAAUCACAGGAAGUACCAAAGUAUAUCGACACGUGUGGACCGUACCGUCUUCGGUACCACACUUAAAAUCUUACUGUAACCCGAAGCCCCGAACACAAGGGCUAGCUGUUUCAACAUUUCGAAGCAAGAAGGCAAGUUGAAGCCAACCACUAGUUUAAAUUAUCACCGCCGUACGUGCACCUGGAAUACUUCCUCGUCCAAAAAAGAAUGAAAAGAAUGACAUUAUGGUAUACAUGUCAAGUUUGACAGCAUAUGUAGAAAAUACUAGCAACGCAUCUCCAAAAAAAAUAUUAUAAAAAAUAUAACACUAUAAAUAUAAAUAUUCUUUUAUAUAUUCAGUCAAAGUUGUAAAUGUUUUACUUUAAAGCUAAUAAUAAGCAUUCAAAAAUUGCUCCAAGUUAUAAAGUAUUAUUGGUGAAAUAACUUCCCUGAAGUCUCAAUCAUAUGCGCACUUACCCAUAGAUUCAAAAUAUAGUAAGCACAGUCUCCAUAGUUAAAGAAGUGUUACAUGCGAGCCUGUUCGUUGGUGUGAAAAGUUAAGGCUAAAAAUACUAUUCGCUGAUUUAUUGUGAGAGAAAAACACUGAUAAGACAAGCGAACGGAGCCACUAGUAGUCCUAGAAUUUUUAGGGUUCCUUAGAUUUUAGGAUGGAGGGUGUACAAUAUAUAGAACCUUCCGCGAUGUGCAAGUAACACUUGAAACUUUUUUUACCCCACGUGAAAUAAAAUAAGGUCAGUGGUCUCCUCCAUCAUACCUAUUCUCUCUUGGCCAAAAAAGAAACAAAACUACUUUUUUAUUGAUAAGGCACCAAUACAUGUUCUUGUCUCCCUCUCAGAUUUCUAGGCAUCACUACAAAUGAGCAUUACUCUGUGUCAAGUGAUGUUGUUAUUCUCUCUCCUCUUUGGAUAUCACUUUGGUAGCAAUAUGUGGAGGUCCUAAGCUAAAAAUGUAUGAGAAGGCACAUGGGCAGUUGCACCUCUAUAGCGGAGAUGACAUGUGGAUAUUUUGAUGAUUGUAUUUAAUUUUUUUAUGUUGUACAUUAAUGUAAUGAGUUACUGAGAUCUGGACGUUCCAUAUAGACCCAGUUCUUAGAACAACCACAUACAAUGUACUUCAAAAGUAGUUUAUAGGGACUAAAUUGUUCCAUAUGAACUACCUGGAAUAUUGUGGAACUAGCCAUAGAGUAGUUUAUAACAAAAGAUAGUCGUAAGGCUAUAGACCACCCAUAAGCAAUGAAAAAACAUUGCCCUCUUUCCAUCUCCCUUUCUUGAUUCCUGCCAUCUAUAGACUAUUUGAACCUUUCACAUAGAAUAGUUAUAGACCACAGGCAAGGGACCCACCUAUAUGGACUACUUGGUCCAAAUACAUUGUAGUUGCUUUAAGCACGUAGUGUUUAAUAGCCUAGAUCCAACUCUUGCAAUGCAUUUUUAUUCGAAUUAGAUACCUACAUAUGGCCCAUGUACCUCUCCACAAAGCUUUGAAUUUACCUAUUAUUCAUAUGCUCGAGCUUCGAAGUAGUGUUCGUCUCAAUGACACAUGUAAGAUUGGCCUCCACUUGCUUACUUGCUCUUACAUUUUAAACCAUAAUAUGUUUUUCUUAGAUGUAUAUAUAACUUUACUAUUCUUGUUACAAAAGGUCUUUGUGCAAAAACACUUUGGUAAAUCCAAAUUCAUGAUCUCUUGCUUAUUACUUAAGGGUAAGUCCUAGAGGCAGAGCUAGGGGCUAGCAGGGGCCGUGCCCCCCUCCCCCAAAAAAAACUAGAGAAAAAAUUAAUAACCUUAUUAAUAAUACAACACAAAGCAUAUUUAGCCCAUUUUAACUCAUAUUUUAUCAUAAUGUUGUGAUUUUUUGCUACGAACACUAACUACAUAUUUAGAAGCAUAAAUAUGCACACUUAUGUACAUAUUUAUCACACAUACAAUGUGUCAUUAUGUUUGCCACCCCCCCCCCCCCCCUAAUCAAAGUUGUCGGCUUCACCGGUAAGCACACUCAGUGUACUCAAGGUACCAUCACCUAAGGUUCUCUUCUAAGCUCUUAAUCCCUUAUUUGUAGACUGAGAUUACUAGAAGCCCUCCUAUGUGAGGUGUAUGUCAAGGUUACGGGAUAGGACCAAACUUAUGUUUUUUAAAGACGUCUAUUGUAGAGACUUGAUAGUUUUUAUUUGAGAUGUGAUAGACUAAAUGUUAAACACUGUGUCCUAGAUGAUGAAGGCUGAGUAGGUACGAUGCUACAAAUGGUAGUACAUGGGACAAUUGGAUGGGUCAGGUUAGGCUAGCACAGUCAAUGAAUGGCAACUUUGUGUAACGCCUGGUGUGGUCGGAGUGCAAUCUUGUUAGUGCAGGAAAAUCAUGUCCACAUAAUUUGUUUUAGAUUUUCUUUGUUGUGAUAUAGCAACAUGGCCAUAUCAUCAUUGAUAGCAAGUGUUGCAACAACCUUGCAAGCUCUAUCCAAUGGAUAAAUACUUGUGAUAAGAUAAAGGUAAAUACAAUUGCAUUCAUUUUUUGAUUAAUACUUAUAAAUGUAGUGCAGACAUUAACAUAAUACAUAUGCAAGCAUGUUCUUUGUUACAAAGAUAAACCUUGGAUUUAUACAAAUAACGUUUUGCAUAAUACUGUUGCUAACAAAUACAUGUUCAAAUACAAUGGUAGCCAAAUUACUCUUUUACCUACGAGUACUCUUGUAAUUUUACAAGUUGAUCUUAUAUGGGCAAAGAAUAAAGAACUAAGCCUCUAGAACAAAAGGGGGUAAAUUCAGAUGUUGUAAUACCUUCCUCUAAACUUGAUUUGUUAUAGAGUGAGUCUAUUACUUUGCCUCUUGUUGCAACUAUUAUCUUGCAGAUUGUACAAGACAAAGUCCAUAGAGGUCAAUCAGAAGAGAAUGCACAUCACAUUGUCUCAAGUGAGAGUUAUCCUCAUAUCUAGAAUUUAUUUACCAAUCAUGUGAUCAAAGAGCAACAUUUAGUAGAAACUUUCAUUGACUUACCUUUACCACAUGUUGAUUUGGUCGUUAUUCGAGGUCAUAAGCAAGUGUUGUGCGUUGAUGCUUAUGUUAAUCUUGUACCAUAAAUAAUGACGAAAAAUGAUUCUUUUGUUUUGGAACCAAAUGCUUGUGAUGAAAUAAUUUUUUUUCAUCCCAAUGCUACUAGAAAAAUUUAAAGAACAAGAGUGCAAGUUCUUAUUAAUAGAUCAAUUGGACUUUUUAUAGCAAGAGUACAAGUUCCUGUUAAAUGUUUUAUAGUAGGAUGAACAUUGUGCACAUGGUGUGACAAGAUGAACUUUGUCAAAAACAUGACGUUUUUCCACUGCAACUUGCAAAUGUGACCAACAUUGUAGUGGAAAACUAGGAACUACAUUUGUGCAACAUGAUGCAAUAUAUUUGUUACAAUUUCCAUGGUUUUUUCAUCAACACAUGAAGGACAAAUUUCUAUUAAUAGCUUUUUAUAGUCAGAUGGACAAACAUUACACACAUGAUGUGCAAGAUGAACAUCAAGAUUAUAUUGUCUACCACCUGAAGUCAGUUAUACUAUAUAGAAGCAAAUCAUAUCAGAUGAAAAGAAGAAAGGUUGCGGUUGCAGAUGUGAUAAGAAUUGAAAUUAAAAAGCAAAGUAAUUGCAGAGAAAAUAAAAACUAAUUGCACAGUUUGGUCGGAAUUGAAGAGAUAAGUCUUUUGAGUCUAGUUAGUACAUGUUUGGAUAAUAUUUGUCAAAUACAAACAAAAGUGGUACUAUUCCUAUUUUGCAAAAUUUUUUGGAACUAAACAAGGCCUUAGUCUAUUAAGGCAUAAAUUAUCAACAUACACGCUGCAACUGUAACUGAACAAUGGGUUGCACAGAAGCAUAACAGAACAUAGCUCCACGACCCAAUAGUAAACAUUGCAAGCAAUACAAAUCCAAUCAACUAUGGUCACUGUAAUCCUGAACAUUAGUACCUAUACCCAAACCAAUAAUAAAUACAACAAUUUAAGACCAUAUGUACAAACAUUUCUUAGGAGACCACAAACAAGAUGAAAUAUUUUUUGUCUAAUACUAAGCAACAACAUGUGAUAAAGAAACUUCUAGAUAGAAUGUUCCCUGGAUGGGGAAGACUAAAGACUAAAGAGAGAAGGAAAUUGUAACAAGUCUUCAACUCAUCGGGGUAAACUGACAUAUGCCAUGAUGAAUACAACUCUCAAUUCCUUGAAAUUUAUUUAGCUUCCUAUCACAAUUCAAUGUAGCAAUGAGUGUUAGUAACAUGAGACAUCACUGCAUUAUACACACAUACGUUGGCUGCAUUAUACACACAUACAUAGACUCACUGUGCUGAUGCAUUAUAACAUCGAAAUAGUAGUCUAAAAAAUCACUCAGUGUAUCUGAUAUAAACACGGAAUACAACUAAAUGUAAGUGUUAUUUUCAUUCAAUUAGACCUACCAACACCAUAACAGGUAUAACACUACUCCAUAUUUAGUUUUGGAUUUUACUUGACUGCUAUUAGGAAAUAGUUGUUGGUACUGCAGACAUAUUUCCAUAUAGUACAGAUUAAUUUCCAUGAACAAUUGGACAAAUCAAAUGUGUAGCAGAAAUAUCAAAUAUCCCUUAAUCCCUUAAAAGGAAUAAACGCAACUCCUCAUUAACAAAUUUCAGAAGUGAAGCAAUUGCACUUUAAUCUAUAUUAUUAUAAUGCAUACCACUUCCACUGUUGCAAAUUUGCAAAAAUACACUUCUUCUAAAAAAAUAUGUUUACAUAAAGUUAAACUAUCAAAUUGUGAUCUAGUAUCAAACUCACAUACCUCUUCUAGCUGUUGAAAGCUCCAAAUUUGUUUUAUUCCUUUCAAGGAUUAAAGAAGGCAUCUUGCAAGCAGACAAUUGUUCUAAGUUGCACAGCUUUCUCUACAGUUUUUUCUGCACUAUAACUUAAGGAACAUUAUUUCUUGUUUUUACGAUUUGGUGCACCUUGACACCUGUUAUUUACAACGGAACAUCUCCAUCUCUGCAGGGCCAUCAUGUAUCAAGAGAUCGUUGGUUAAUCCAAACAAAUCAUUUCAAUAACAGAUCAGAAGGUGCAGUCUUUCUCUUUCCACCAUUCAUUGAAAGCUUUCUUUUCAUCUGAAUUUCCCGGACUGUUUCAGAAAUCAAGAGACUCAGUUUUGGAACACUCUUAGUAGUCAACGGCAGGUCAAUUCCAGCAUUUCGCAAAGCUUCUAUGAUAAGUUUCUUAGAUUUUGGGUCAUGGUCAGCACAUCGCAAUGGAGCAAUGCCUCUCAGAACAUGUUUUCCACAGGUUGCUCCCCCAUUUGGCAAACCACUGCAUGAAAUCAUAAGAGUAAACAGUUGAGACAUGAAUGAUGCUUGCUAUGUACAAAAUGAACAGAGAAAAUAACUAAAAGGUAAAGUUAGCACUACACAAAAUCUAUGUUUCGUUUCAUACACUGCCAUGAUGAAUGUUCCACACAUGCCCAUGCAUAUGUGCAAGACCCAAGAAAGAAGUAUUGAUUACUAAAUAUAGUUCCUCAGUAAAAAAAGAAAAAAUGAAAGAGUAUAGUAUACAGAUGGAACUAGGGAAUACUACUUAACAGAAACAAAGAAACCCACCAAUGCAAUAAGUGAGCACCAAAAUUAACUACAACCAACAAUAUUUAAAGCUGAAAUUCAGAUAUAUAGAAACAAUUAAUUCUGGAUUUGCUAUACUCCUAGUCUCCUACCUAAUCCCAGUAAGAUACAACAUUAAUUACCAUUCUCUUAUGUAAAAAAUUUAAUAUGCAAGUAUAAUGAUGAUAAAAUUUAAGAGGUCUUUAACAUAAAGAUAACAGAUAAUGAUGGCAUAAAAAUACUAUUCUCCUACGUUUUUCCAGAAACAAAUGUAACCAGGGCAUCAAUGCAGUAAGCCAAAGUGUUUCAUUUGACUUUGUAUUAGUAGGAAUGUAAAACCAGACUUAAUUAACAGUUUGACAGAAAAAAUGGGAACCAACGUUAGAGAAUGUCCAUUUCCUUGCUGGGUCAUUUUGAGAAUAAAAUCAGUCUUCUUAAUAUAAUAAUAUGCAAAUCUCCUGUGUGUUUCAGGGAAAAAAAACAAAACGAGUAAAAAAUGUGUUGGUGUUGACAAAAAGGUCACACACAGACUGAAUGUUCAAUGCUCCAACUCCGGAUUCAACUUUGUCAGCUAAUUGUAAGACUGUCUCAGUUAAGUCCGAUCUUUUACGAUUGCUGAUAGUUAUCCUUCAAUUCUUAUCAAAACCUGCACGGCUGCAUCGGUUAGGUCUGACCUUGUAUGGAUUUUGACACGAAUCCCCCAUAAGACCCUCACAACCAGCCAAAUUGUGGAAGCAUGUGGAGUUUCCAUUCAGACAUGAUACUCUAUACUAGGCAAAUAUAUCAUGCCAUAUUGAAACAGACCAAAAAAUACUAAGAACAUUUGAAGUGACACUGGCACGACAUGAGCAUGACAAUGCAGCCUGAGCGUUCAAGGGUUUAUAAAGAUGUCAUGCCAGUCAAGAAUGCUGUGAAUAAUCGCAUAAAUGCAGUAGCGUAGUAUGCCCACAUGUAAAUUUGGAGCCAAGCAAAAAGAUAGAAGUAAGCUUAGUCAACUGUUUCGCCUGGAUCCUCAUCCAAAACAAAAUCUCGCCGGCUAACAACCUACAGCUAAGAAACUGGCCACACCAGGAUCAUUGCGUCAUGUGCAACGGGCCACUGGAGUCAGGUCUCCAUCUCAGCCUACUAUGCCCAGCCAAACAAUUUUGGGACAUUGUGCUAACCUGGGAACACUUUGAUGUCAAUCUAAUUAGGUCAUAGACCCAGCCAACUGAAAUCAACUCUUGGUGGGUGGAAGCAGCUGCAAAAAUCCCAAGACAAAGGCAGCGACACUUCAAUGGGGUGGUUAUAUACAUAAUUUGGAACAUAUGGAAAGAAAGAAGUAGAGGAUCUUUGAUAACAGUUCUUUGAAUGCAAACCAGGUGGCUCACAGGACAAAGGAGGACAUUGGCUGGGAUCAAGGGCGCUAAACAAUUUCGCUUAGUUGAGAGUGUCAUGUUGGAAUGUGUGCCCUUGGGAACCUAGGCUUACAGGCAUGUUGUAUAUAAACUUUCUUUUCCAUCUUAAUUGAGAGGCAGAGCUCCUGCCAAUUUUUCAAAAAAAACCUUAGUUGCAGUGCAGCUCAAGGUAUGCAUUGGUCAAGCUCAGCCAUGCUAGCUUAACUUGCAAGGGUACCAUAAUUUUCUUCAUGGGUAGGAAUCAAGUGAGCAUUACUGGAAAAGAAAUUGGGCCACAUACAAUGUUAUAUGUGCAAAUAAUUUUGUUUGCAUGGCCCGUUGAUAGUUAUUAAGCUCAUAAGGCAAGGUGUGCAACCCAACCCCUUUCACAUAAUCGUACCACCUAGACACUUAUGGCAUAGACCUAGGUGAUCUGUCAUGGGCAUAAUGAGGGGCGCUGUAGGGUGCAAGUGUCCUAGUUGGGCCUUAAGCCCAUUAGUGUUAAUUAGUGUCUCUCUUAGUUAUUUGUCUAUAGGAAUAGUACCAUAUUGUCUAGGCACAAGAGGUGUUAGUCCUAUGUACCUUUUAUAUUCAGCCCAUGGGGCACAAUGGAAAGCAAGCAAGGAAUUAUGAAGAAACAAUUCUAGUCUCCCUCAAUCUCUCAAGCUCUUGGCAAAGCAUAAGGCCUAGUUAUCCCAAAGCUCUUGGCAAAGCAUAAGGCCUAGUUAUCUAUCCCAAAUACACCUCGUCCUUAACAUCUGGUAUCUAGAGUCCAGCGAUCCUCUUCAUCCAAAAAAAAACAUCGAUUCAGAUCCCGAUCCCCACCACCAUCCGCCGCCGCCGCCACCGCCACAACUCCAACACCGGCAGCCGCCACCACAACCAACAGGCCGCCGUCCGCCUCCCCCUGCACCAACAACCUCGAAGCUUCCCUGGCGACCAUCACAGCCGCCAUGAGGGCCAACGCCGCCGCCAUCAAGGCCCUGUCCGCUGAGUGCUCGGCGUCCAGCAACAACUCGGCUGCCGGGAAACACCACAACAAUCGUCCGCCGCGGUUCCAGAAGUUGGGUUUUCCGCGUUACGACGGUAAUUCCGACCCCCUCAUCUUCAUCAACAGCUGCGACACAUACUUUCGUCGAGAGCACAUCAUGGAGGAAGAAAAGGUAUGGAUGGCUUCCUGUCAUCUGGACGAUGGCGCUCGUACGUGGUUCCUCCAAGUCCAGGAGGAGGGCACCCCGACAUGGCGUCGCUUCACCGAGCUCCUGCAGCAGCGCUUCAAACCAACUCCGCGCCCCAAUCCGCUCCACCGGCUGUCCCUUGGUGUCGACAACUGCCUACGCAGCCUUGCGGAGAUGACCGCACACCUGGAUCGCCCCGGGUGCGUCUCGAGAAGGAGGACCGUGAACGCCGAGCAGCUGUACGCCUCCAGGCAGCAGCACGGGGACUCCUGGCACGUCGCCGAGCGCAGGCUCUUUGUGCCACAAAAGCAUCGAAGGAGCAAGCAACGGUGCACCUCCAGGCAGCAGUGCGAGGAAUGCUUGUCCGUCGCAUGGUGCGGCAGAUACGCAUGCUCCUCAGCUCGACGUUGUCGUACGUGUUCAUCCACUCGGACUCGCCGAUACGGCCUGCGGCUCCAAUUGCAGUGGGGGUCCAAGUAUGGGUGUUUCCAGUGCAGCGACCUCGCAUCAGCAUCCAGCAUCAGGCAUCAAAGGCUAUCUCAUUCAGCCUUGUGCCUGCCGUGGUGCUAGACACUUUCAGCAUAAGAGCCAGCUGCUUCACACUCCACCCUUUAGCCUACAUGAAGCCAGCAGAGGCGCUCUUUCCAUGGGAUCCAGGUGGAUAUCCUUAUAUUUUAGUCUUCAAUAUAAAGGGGAAGCCGAGAUGUAAAAGGCUUAACCCUAUUUCGCUUCAGCUCUCCAGCUCGAGGACGAGCUGGGUCUCCAAGAGCGGGGGAGAUGUCAUGGGCAUAAUGAGGGGCGCUGUAGGGCGCAAGUGUCCUAGUUGGGCCUUAAGCCCAUUAGUGUUAAUUAGUGUCUCUCUUAGUUAUUUGUCUAUAGGAAUAGUACCAUAUUGUCUAGGCACAAGAGGUGUUAGUCCUAUGUACCUUUUAUAUUCAGCCCAUGGGGCACAAUGGAAAGCAAGCAAGGAAUUAUGAAGAAACAAUUCUAGUCUCCCUCAAUCUCUCAAGCUCUUGGCAAAGCAUAAGGCCUAGUUAUCCCAAAGCUCUUGGCAAAGCAUAAGGCCUAGUUAUCUAUCCCAAAUACACCUCAUCCUUAACAUGAUCUCACAUGUACAAUCAUGAAUGCCCAAGAGUAAGUCCGUCUCAACUCAACACGUGACACCUGACAGGAUACCAAGACUAUCCAUUUAUUGUGCGAAAGGUAGUCUUAGGAUUUCCAACCAUUGCCACUUCACUUCAUCCUAUCACUUCAUGUGCCACCCAAUCAUCCCUUUCAGCAUUUCCUAUCUUCCAUUCCCCUUUGCUGCCUCCAUUUUUCCACAUUGUUGCAGCCUCCUUACUGAAGUCAACAAGAAAAGCAAGGGUGGCAUAACAAGAGACAGUGGGUGAUGCCGAAUCAAUCCCCUGAAGGAUGAGAAAAUAGGAAUAAUUGAACCGAAGAAUAGUGGGAGACAACAAAAAUGAGCUGUAGAAAGUCAAGAGAAGGCAGGAUAUGGCUGAAUCUUCUCUCAGAGGGGUGAGUGACAGCAGAAUCAAGACAGAGAAGGUACACAUGAAAUGGGCAGGAUGAGGCCCCUGUGGCAACCUACAUAUUGGUUGACAAUACAUUAAAAACAAUGGCAAGGUUAAUAAGAAGACAUCAAUUGUAGGUGCAGAGCUUGAUUAAGCGGAAGAGCACACAAAAGGAGUUGCCAGCAGUCCGCAAAAUUUCUAAAAGUUCAGUUAACAAUGCCAGCUAGUCAAACUAGCUUGUGUAUUCCAAAACAUAUUUCUUUGGUGGUGAGAGAAGUUAAGGUGAUAAAUGGAUCCACUGAGAGAGAAGAUAUGGCACAUUCACUUGGGUUAAGCAACACAUGAAGAGAAUUUAAUGCAAUGCAGUAACAAAGUCCUGAGAAGACCAGAAAGCUAAACUCUGAAACAUUCAGCAUAGUAUCCAUGACGAUGAAAAUCAUAUCUACCUAGCAGUUGAGCCCCACCCUCUUUUUUUCAAAGGUUAGAUGGAAUAACUUGCUGAACAUGGAAAGGUAUCGGCACAUGCCAAAGCAAUUGUGGAGUGAGGAUAUUAAUUGAAAUUCACAUGCAAUUAAUUCAGGAUAUGAUUGCGUAAUCUGAUAAGUUAAAAUAAAGGUAUUGAUAGGAUAUAGAUAAGAGAAAUGAAGAAUGCAGCAGCUAUAUAGUUAAGUUCAAGGAUUCAGCAGCUAUAGAGUUUCCAAAAAUGCCUUUACCUAUCCAAAGCCACAAGGCAGCUACAAACCAGCCUCGGGUUCUGUUGCAUUUGGCAGUUGCUAGUUCCCAUUUAUCAUCACGUGCAUCCACUAGUAUUUAAAUUUCACCAAAAUACCAUAUAAGUACUGUAGCUAAUAACAUUAGUCCACACACUAGUGUAACAAACUUUCAAAAGGGAAACAAGGAAUACAUGAGAACCCAGGUAUUCCGAACAGAAUCGUGAGCCUUCACCAAAUAAUCGAACUAUAUAUGUCUGUAGACUCAGUCUUCUGUUAAUCAUGUGCUAGAAAAUAAAGUUCAGUAACACAAACACCAAAUCCAUGUGCUUGAACAGGUUUUCUACAUAAAAAAUAGUAGUAAAAAAGUCUACAAAUUCCACCUAUGAUAAAAUGAAGUCACUAGCAACCGUGGACUAGUGCACAAAGUCCGUCAACCAGAAUUAUACACAAAUAUUGCGAAAUUAUACCACCCAAGCACAUCUUGGACUAGUGCACCCAUGAAGCAUACCUUUUCCUAGUGGGGAAGGCGCAGGGCUGAUAGAGCUGCUGCUUGGGGUCCAAGAGGAUGUGAUUGAAGCAGUAAAGGGACAGGGGCACCGCCUUGGCCUCGCAAUUCGAGGCCGCACAGCCCGCCCUCCCGCCCGCAGCCGACACAGGAGGAGGGGCAACGGCACAAUUCUCCAGCGGGCCAACGACGACUCCAUUCUCUGGCGGUCCAGCACUGACUCCAUUCUCUUUCGGCGGCAGCAGCGGCGUGGGCUCGUCAUCGAGCGCGGGGCUGGCGCCGUGCUCCCACCAGUACUCGCCGUGCCUUGCGGGGAGCUCAUCGGCGAGCAUCCAGUACUGGGCGCGGUAGAGGGAGCAGAGCUGCACCAGGCGACGGCGGCGCCGAUAGAGGACCUCCUCGCGGGACAGCGCUGCCGAGAGACUGAGCUCCGCAUCGCGCGCCGCGCCGACGACCUCCACCGGCAGGCGCGGCGGCGGCAGCGGCGGGUGGGGGUCGUCCAUGGAAAUGGAAUGGACCAGGUCACCAGGGGUAUCCCACGGCUAGGGUUUCGGGGUUUAAGGAGGCGGCGCGGGCGGGGAACCAGAAGCGGCAGGUUUGCCGCCGCGCCGCGGGGCGAGGCGCGGAGCUGAACGGUGGAGUGGAAUCACAUCAGAACGGACCCGUCUCAGAGCAAAGAGCAAAAUCCACCGCCGGUCCUUGAACUUGGUUGGCGGUGUUAUCUAGGUCCCUAAACUUCUAAAGUGAUAUCUAUGAGUCCAUAAACUUGACAGACGGUGUCAUCUAGAUCUCUGAACUUUCAAAGUAAUCACCACAUGUCCCUAAACUUGGCAGGUGGUGUCAUUCCAGUCCCUGAACUUUCAAAAUGAUGACUGCAGGUCCCUAAACUUGGCAAGCGGUAUCAUUCUUGUCCAAAUAUGGUCCAACCUACUCUAUAAGUUGUUAUGUGUAAAUUAAUCAUGCAUUAUUUAUCUAAUAUUUAUCAUGAAAAUAUAAAUUAUAUAAAAUAAUUUAUAUCAACAAAAAAUAAAUUAAAGUGUUAAAAUAAUUUACACCAACAAAUAUAUUAGGUUUAAAUUGAAGUAUAAAAAUAGUAAAAUUAAUUAAAUAUUUAUAUAUCAUUGAUAGUAUUACAAAAUAAUAUUAAAAUUCCUAUAUAUAGUAUUAAAAGUUUUCUCUAUUAAAAGUUACUUCUAAUUUUAGUAUUAUUUUUAAAAUUUUAAUAGUUUUAUUAUAAAAGUAACUUUUCUCUAUUAUUAAUAUUAUCACAUUAUUAUAAAAUAUUUUAAUACCAUAAUACUACUAUUAAAAGUUUUAAUACUAUAAUACUACUAUUAAAGGCUAACUUUUCUCUGUUAUUAAUACUAUCACAAUAUUAUUAAAUAUUUUAAUACCAUAAUACUACUAUUAAAGUUUUAAUACUAUAAUACUACUAUUAAAUGUUACUUCUAUAAUAACAUUAUUAAAAGUUUUAAAAUAAUACUAAUAUUAGAAGUAACUUUUAAUACUAUAGGAAUUUUAAUAUUAUUUUGUAAUACUAUCAAUGAUACACAAAUAUUUAAUUAAUUUUACUAUUUUUAUACUUUAGUUUAAAGCUAAUAUAUUUGUUAUUGUAAAUUAGUUUAAUACUUUAAUUUGUUUUUUAUUGAUGUAAAUUAUUUUAUAUAAUUUAUAUUUUCCUGAUAAAUAUGAGAUAAAUAAUGAUUGAUUAAUUGACAUGUUGGAUUCACAUUAGCUUAAAUAGAGUAGGUUAGACUAUGUUUGGAUAGGGAUGAUACCGCUUGCUAAGUUUAGAGACUUGUGGUGAUCACUUUGAAAGUUCAAGGACUAGAAUGACAUUACUGGCCAAGUUUAGGAACAUGUGUUGAUUACCUUGAAAGUUUAGGGAUCUAAAUGACACAGUCUGCCAAGUUUACAGACUCACAAAUAUCACUUUAAAAGUUUAGGGAUCUAAAUGACACCGCCAGCCAAGUUGAAGGACCGGCGGUGGAUUUCACUCCAGAGCAAAUCCUGCCCUGACUGUCUUUUUUUUUUCCUUGUUCAGCCCAUUUGCUGGGCAGCCCAAUGGUAUGAUGAUUGAUGAACCUUCCCAUUGCCUAUGGUCUUGUUUAGUUCCAAAAUAUUUUGCAAAAUCGACACUGUAACUUUUUCGUUUGUAUUUAACAAAUAUUAUCCAAUCAUAGACUAACUAGGUUCAAAAGAUUCGUCUCGUCAAUUUCGACUAAACUGUGCAAUUAGUUUUUAUUUUUGUCUAUAUUUAAUACUUAAUGCAUGUGUCUAAAGAUUCGAUGUGACGGGGAAUCUGAAAAAUUUUGCAAAAUUUUUUAGAACUAAACAAGGCCUAUGAUGCUUAUAGGGCCCUGCUUGUUUAAGCUCUCGGCCUUUUUUUUUGAUAUUGACAAAAAAAAUCUGAUAUAUCAUAAGUAAGGAAAAUAAAGGCUGAUACAAAAGAUAAAUAAAAAGACAUAAAAUGACCUAUAAAAAAUAAGAGUGCAUCAACGGUUGUCUUGGUUAUCCAUAGUUCGAUCUAGGUACUCAAUUUAUUUAUUCUGAUUUUGACCGGUGCAACUGCAACAAAGUCGCUGCUGCUGUAUGAUUUGUUCAUGGAAUCACUGCAUGUCCUACCUGCAGUGGGAUUUUGCAAAAUGGUACUCCGUUCAUUCCAAAUUAUAAGUCAUUUUAACAAUCUUGAAGAGUCAAAGCAUUUUCAAGUUUGACUAAAUUAUAGAGAUAAGUACUAAGAUUUGUAACAUAAAAUGGUUAUACUAUGAAAAUAUAAUUAAGGAAGAAUCUAAUAAUACUUAAUUUGCUUCAUAAUUGUUAUUAGGAAACAACUAACGCGCGGCCGGCCGUAAUAUGGAUCGUCCGCACGGCCUUGCCAUUUAUAGUAAAGUGCAGUUAUUAUAUUACUUUUUUUGGCAAGCAUGCUAAUCACGCUAGCUUGUGGGCGCAGAAAAAUUUUCCCGCCAAAUGUAACCAAAGACUCUUCACGGCUUGCAUAGCCCAGAGCCCCAGACCCAAAUAUUUACCACGGUUUAUCGGAGGAAAGCAAAUCAAGUCAAGACAUAAGAUUUUAGGGACUGCAUGUAUUAUACGUUCACAAAAGAGUAAUGUAUUCAGAAAAAAACACAUUUACAUCUGCAGUUUUCUAGAGCAAAACACUAUACAUCUAGUCCCUAGGAAAACACACAUUUCCGCAUCUUUUCCACAUGAACUUCAUCUUUUUUCUCUGUACAUGGCCUGCAUGUUAAAAAAAUGGAUAACAUGUGUUAUAAAUUUGUUGCUGGAUGGAGAUAAAAAAGGAUGCAUAUGUUAAGAAAAUGAAAACCUUAUAUUGCCUAUUUGAGAAGACAUUAUUGUUCCUGAAGCUCAGGUUGCUGUUGGUAAUGUUGUACUAGUAGAUUGUAUUUUCUUAGGAAUUUAAGUGUUAUUUAUUAGGCAACAAUGUCUUCAUGAAUAGGCAAUUUAGCCUAUUUUUACUAGUAAAAAAGAAACAACAUUUGUCUAGUUUUGAAGCAUGAGUUUUGCGGCCGAGGAGCAAUAGGAAGAAGGUUGGCUACUGUGCAAGAUGCAGUGAUAAAUAUUUUCUAGACAAUUCAUUUGAGGCCAAAUGCAAAUCCAUAUACAAUUUUUUAACAGCAAAUUUUAUCUUGAGUGUUAACAGAAACGAAUCUGAGUGAACCACACUCGAAAAUAGGCAACACAACUACUAGAGAUGCAGCCCAGCAUAAUUCAAUCUUGGUCUUUAGUCUCUUUCAAUUUCUAAGACCAAAAAAAGUGAAAGAGCAAAAAGAGCGGAUGGAAGAGACGGAGAGUAUUACCUAGAGGUGAUCUCGUUGAUGGGCAACCGUAGUCGUAGCUUGCUUGAUGAAGAUUGACCUGCGUGUGCACUUAGCAACAAAGGAAUGCCUGCUGGGGCGCGGGUUGGUAAAUGUAUGGCCUCACCGGGUUUCACUUCAGCCCUGCAACCAUGGACGAGGCGUGGGGAAAUAAAGUCCAUCAAACUCAGAACUUGAUUAGUUCACCCUAAAAAUCUAAAACUUUUCAAGAUUCUCUGUCAUAUUGAAUCUUGCGGCACAUGCAUAGAGCAUUAAAUAUAAAUGAAAAUAAAAACUAAUUACACAGUUUGUCUGUAAAACGCGAGACGAAUCUUUUAAGCCUAGUUACUCCAUGAUUGGACAAUGUUUGUCAAAUAAAAACGAAAAUGCUACAGUAUUGUUUUUCCAAAAAAAUUUAGAACUAAACAAGGCCUCAAUCAGCUCACAAUCAUGGUGAAUCGAUUAAGCAGCAACAACUUGAAUCACCGCAUCGCGACUUGCUUAUGUUCCUGGAGCCUCUAUUGGUGAUGAGCAGGUUGCUGCUAGUAAUGCUUUAGUAGAUUGCAUUUUUAUAGGCAAUUUUAGUGCCAUUCAUUAGGCAACAAUGUCUUUCUAAUUUUACAAUUUUGGUAUUCUAAAAAAACAAGUGCAGUGUCUGUGUUCAUUUGCAACCCACAACCCCACCCCUAACCCCUGGUUUAUUUUCAAAAAAAAAACAUAUCAAGCAGAGGUAAGGUGAUGAUGUCAAAAAACAGAGGUGAUAUUUUCAAAGUAGGCUGCUAUGGUACAUACACAUAUUCUAGAGCGCAACUAGCAUUUUCAGCACCCAUACAACAUAAGGAUUUUUUAAAUGUUGCCGCACAAUCAUUAAUUGCAAGAAAACAUUACAAAACUCAGUCAUAAUUAUUUAACAAACUGAAACAUUAAGGUUGAAGCUAUUCUGAAUACAACAUGUCUGCCAAUCUGCAACAGACUUGCCCAUUUAGAAGCACAUUGUUGCAUAAUAAAUGGCACUUAAAUUGUCUAACAAAUGGCACAUGGAGCAGGGCGUAGAAAGGACGAAUGCUGGAGGGAUGAGGUAUGCUACCGUUGAAAAACAAGUGUAUGGAAGAUGGAGGGGGCACCGCCACCGGAGAGGCUGCACAACCAGAUUGGCUCCACAGAUUCUAGGAUACACCCUCAGCAAUCUGAAAUCUCAUGUAGAUUUUCUCAUCAGCAAAUUAAGUAUCAUUCAUUAAGCAAUAAUGUCUUCCUAAAAUAGGCGAUUUAUGUAUUCUGAAAAGGCAAGUAUAGUGUUUGUGUUCAUUUGCAACCCACAGCCCCACCCCCAGUUUAUUUGCAAAAAAUACACAGCUAUGUUUUUAACUUUUUAUGCAUCACAUCUAUUUAUGUAAUGUAAUAGGCAAAAAUACAGAUUAAGCAGAGGCAAGGUGACGAUGUCAAAAAAUAAGUUAUGUACAAAAGGCAGACUAGAUUAAUGACUCAACAGAAUAAUCAGCAUAACAAUAGAAAAAAAAAGAGAGAAUGAUCUAUCAGUAAUAAUAUGUCACCUGCAUUAGUCAGCACCUCCCAAUCUGCACAAGAAAAUGGAAUCUCAAUCUUCCCCUUGUCACCUACACAAGAAAAAGGGAAUCUCAGGCUUCCCCUUGUCACCCGGGCAUAAUUAAUGUCACAUAGAGAGCAGAGUAACGCUUGAAAAUUAAAGGAGACAUACGGUAAAAAGAGCUGGAUUACUAAUAACAUGCCUGGCUAAUGAUAUUAAAUUGCUUAACUAAAUUUACAUGCACAUUUUUGGGUGGUUCUCACCUGCUCGUCUACACUUUCAUAUAGCCUGCUGCACACUCUAAUUUUUCUGCAGCAGAAAGUUUCAUUUGUUAGGCAACAAUGUAUUCUUAAAUAGGCAAUUUAUGUAUUCUGAAAAAAACGUCCAAUGAAGUUUUGUUGUAAUUUUGAACUGAACAAGAAUUCAUAUGAUCAUCUGACCAACUAUAGCUUAUGAUUCUCACAUGAACAAGAAUAAGUAAUUUUCAGUGAUUAUUUAUCUUAGAUGCACAUUUACUCCAAUACGAAUUGCAGUCUAAGGAAAAUUAAACAUCCAAAAAUACAAAGAUACCAGUAACAAUUCUAAAAUUGAAAAUAGGCACAUAGACAAAAAGAAUAGAAUAUAUGUACAAUAUCAAGCGAAAUGAUUGAUAGCGAUCAGAUGCUAAGAAACAAGAUGCAUAAAUCAACCUGUUGUAAGGGUUACAACAUCACAUCGAAUUCAAUCCUGAACAUGACAAAUGCAGCAGAUGGGUCGAACUUGAGGUUGAUUGAAAUUUCUUAUAAAAACAGAACAAUUCUCUCCACUGCUAGCGAUCCACAAAAUCUAUGUGAAAACAGCAGCAGUAAUUUGCACUUUUCCAACUGAUGCGAUUUCGAUCACCUUCUAAACCUGAAAAUUCACCUACCAAACUGGCCUAAAAAAAUCCUCACGGCAUAGUAGCUACUGAUCUCCACAAUUAGUCGGGUGCCAAGAGUCUCACAUAUGGAGCACUACCACAUCACAUGAGACAACAUGGUGGGGAACAUAUCUAAUCGAAAGUGGGGGACGAGGGUGUCACCUACUAGACACAUGUGGGAGGGAACUAGAUGUCCACGGCGAGGAUUUUGACAUCCUUGCACUCCUCCAUCUCAGCGAUCGAGAGCCCACCUCCUCCGCUACCGCCGUGGCACCUUCGAUUGCGGCCGCGAGGUAGGCCGGCCACCACGGGCUGGAUGGUCCCGCGAGCAGAUCCAUGCCGCCCCAACCUCCUGGCCACCACUGCAAAUACGGCGCAGAUCUGAGGUAGAUAGCAAAUAUCUUACGUUAGGGUUAGAGAUCUCGGUUUCGCACAGCAGGAAGGGGAAGGAAAAGGCAAGGGCGGACGAACCUGGUGGGUGCUCGUCGCCGGCGAACGGCCAAGGGAUCGAUGAACACCUGGCGUAGGGUUGGGGCAACAGUCCCCAAUCUUCGACGGAUCCGCCAUGGCCGGCGCGGAUGGGGGCGGCAAGGAGCUCGGCGCGGGCAUGGAGAGGCGGUGGGGCGCAGGCGUGAGGAAGUCACCGGGGAGGAGCUCGCGGUCGCCGGUCACCAGGGGAGAGAGAGAGAGAGCAGAGAGACGCGGGGAAUGAAAUGUUGAGGACGAGCACCGUGCGUCCGGUGGGAUGCAAAAUACUGCGGGUGGGAUUGGAGCGUGCGUGGCUGCGUGCGACGGAACAAAGACACGGCCAGCCGGUAACAAGUCAUUACCUUGUUAUUAUCUUAUCAUAUAAAUUUGGUCAAACUUGAGAUAUUUUGACUCUCCAAGAUUCUUGGAAUGACUUAUAAUUUGGAAUGGAGGGAGUACUUGUCAUAGUCUGAUCCACUAUAUGGUCUAUGCAUUUUGUAGAUGAUUAAUCAUAUCAAUGUAGGAAGAAAAUUGUCUCCGCAAAGGUAACUAAAUAGUUAAACACUUCUUAUUUUUCAUUCCAAUCACAUAAUUUUAUGUUUAGUGCAAAGGCCAGGUUUUCUUAGCUGAAACAAAUUACUCUAGUAUCACAUGGGCCAUCACAUAUUCUGCUCGUAAAACCUUACUAUUAUUGCAUCUUGUAAUAAUGUGAUUCCUCGGCAUCCAAAAUCUAGAAACAACGUACGACCUAUUUGGAAUGGUUCAAAUUUUAGGAGAAACUGGUUUUUUUUUACAAUUGUUCGCAGCAACCACUCGGUGGAGAAGCUCGAGCUAGAAAAAAAUAACAGAUUGGCUUUACCUAAGCUCCCAUGAUUGGACCUUGGCGAUGGAGACAAAGGUGUCCAGAUCCUACAUGGAGGUGGGUAGAUAUGUUCUUAACCAAACAGAGGGAAGCUCAAGGGUGACACCCUCAGGAGCUCAUACACUAAAUGUGAGGGCAAUGGCUAGAGGGGAGCAUAACAACAUAGGAGGUAGAGCCUAGCGACAUGAGAGCAUAUGAAUGAGAGGGAGAAGGCCGGCUCUUCCAACAUCAUCAACGUGAAGGAGUCAUGGUGAUCUCGGAGGCUUCUCAUGGAAAAUAGAGGAGUAGGGUGACAAUAUCUAUUGUCCUACCUAACUACUCCUGCUACAAGUGUUUCCUUUUAAUAUACUCUAAAGAGUUUCCGCAACCCCCCCCCCUCCUUCGGUGGUUGUCGAGUCAUGGCCACAGACAUGAUCUAUGGUGUUGCAUGCCCGAUGCUCUCCUUCUCUCCUCUCUUCCUUCUAUGGUAUCCAAUACCGAUCAUAACAAUAAGAGAGUGUGAUAGCCAAAGGGGGGUUAGUGUCGUCAGAGGAGAGGACAAUGCCGGAGGGGGGAUCUAUAUGAUGCACAAGAGGUGGUCUAUGUUAAUGUGUUUGGCCAUUCUCCAUUUGGCUAACGCUCAACUUCUAGGGCCUCUUUGGAACAAAGGAUUUACAAAAAAAUGGAAUGGGAAAAAUGUAGGAAUGAAAUGCCCUAACACUUGAAAUCCUACAUGAUUUUAGAGACCUUUUGGAAGCAAUGUGGGAAAAGCGCAGGAAACAAAAACAUUGAGGUUAGAGCUUAUGUUAGUUUCCUCCAAAAUUCCUUAACAAUGGUCUAAUCCAUAGGAAUUUCAAAAGAUUGUUUGAAAAUAUUCCUUUGUUCUAAAGAGCCUCAUAGGAAUUUUUCCUAUAGGAUUUAAAUCCUUCCUAUAUUUCUCCUCCAUUCCAAAGGAAGCUUAAAUGUCAAACUGUUCUGCCGAUUCAACAAAGUAGUGUGCACCAUCCCGGUGCUUGCUAGACAUCUUGAAUGCUUGUCUCGCGCAUGCAAUUUCUACCUUGUCGGAUCGUCUAGCCAAGACAACUUUUUGUUUUCUUGAAAUCUUUGUGAUUUCUUCUCCUCUCUUCAUGCCCUUUAUCUCUUUCAUAGGACCCAGUAGACCUUAUUUAUCAUAUCUUAGCACAAAUUAUAGUUUAGUGAUUGAGUUGCCCCACUAUAACAAGAAGAAGGCAGCCACCUCCUCCCUAUAACAAGAAGGCAGUCACCUCCUCAAAUGAGAACCUGUGAAGCUAGUUUUUUUUUUGAUGAAAUGAAGCUAGUUUUUUUCAUUGACUCAUACGAGUUGUUGCUACAUCAACACCGUAGUGGAGUGGCCGGACCUCUCCAAAGGGGUCAUGAGAUCAUGUUUGGUAGUUUUUCUACAAAUGGCUUCACCUAUGAAGUCAGAAAAGCCACGUUUAGGUGGCUUCAUCCUUCUAGUAAGAAAAUUGAUUUUAUUUUUUUCUUUGAAAUUACUCUCAGUUGUUUUAUAUGAGCUAGUAUUUGGCAGGACUUCACCCAAGAGGCCAUAACUUUCCUUGUACAAAAUAAUCACGUAUUUUUAUUUAAGUAAGCAUUAUUUUCUUAUUCCCCAAAUGUACUAUAUUUGAGGACAAGUUUUAAAUGCCAUAAUACACUACUCGCUCUGUCCUAUAAUAUAGUGUAUUCUAGUAUUCAAAAUUUGUCCUCAAAAUACAUUCUAGAGGACAAAAACUAAUUUUGUAUUAAAUAUUUUCCAUUUAUCAAUCAAUCACCAUUAAAUGACGUUGAUAAUAGCAUCUGAUUAGAAAAAUAAAAUGAAGGUAUAUGUGUCUUUUACGUUCUUCUCUUCAUUUAUCUUAAAAUUUCUACAAUAUACUAUAUUACACAAAAGAGGGAGUAUAUUUUAGAAUGAAGGGAGUAGAAGAUAUUCUAAGAUUUAAUGACAAUAUUUUUUCCAUUAGUAAACCAUGAAUUUAGUUGUCUAUUUUUAGUGGUAGACAAUUUAACAUGCUCAUCAAUAGGUAUGAGUGUAGGGUUGAGGGUGUAUUUGAGCACCAACAUCAUACCGUGUUUCUCCUAAAACUAAAAAGAAAGAAAGUAAAUAAGACCAUCAUUUCGUGUGGUAAUCGUCGCUCCGUCGGUCCGCCCCUCCCUACAAUCCCACACUCGACCGAACAGGGGUGGAAGGUUACGAAAAUAAAAUAAAUAAUAAGUAAGGAUUCCUGAUACAAAUAUACAAGAGGAAAAGAAUAUGUAAACAUAGAGGUGGAAGGGUGUAACAAAAAUAAAAAAUAAGAAAAGAUUCCUGAUAUAAAAUUGAUGUAAAGGUGGAAGGGUGCAAAAAUAAUAAUAAAAUAAAAAAGGAUUCCUGAUGUAAAAAACGUAGAGGUAAAAAGAUGUAAAAGAUUUCCUGAUGUAAAUAAUCGAAGGCCGCGUCACGCUGCCACAGCAUCCGCUGCCGCUCCUGCUCCGCUCGCCAGCUGCUCAGGUCUUCACCGGGUCCUUCACCGACGACGAGAGGCUCCGUGGUGCUGGUACACAUCACGGCCCCAUUAGGCCUCACGCCAUUCCAACGCAGCCUUCUCGCCAGCAACCUGUGGCCGGCUCCGGGGCACCAGCACGCAAGCAGCAUGAUGUGUUCAGCGCCGGCCAAUUUGCAUUCACGGGUGCCCACGACAACGAGUCAUUGUGGUGAUCCAUAUCGAGCAUUUUUUUUACAACAACCUCAUUUGUUAAUUAACAGCAAGAAGCUGUUAGAACCAUUACAAAGUUUAUGGUUACCGAUUGGAGUGUCACAAGAACCAAACACUGUCUAGCCAACACAUCUGCCAUUUGAUUCUGAGAUCUUCUAAUCUUGCGAAUGGAAGAGCUUGUGCCUGCUAAGAGAGAACUGAUCAUCUGUGUGUACGGUUUGAUUCUCCAAUCAGGAGGAUUAGAGAGGUCGGCUCCGUUUAAGAAGUGGACCAACUGUUGAUUAUCAGACAACUGUAGGUUGCCUCCUGGAGAUUCAAUUUUUGCAGGAUCACAGCUGCUACCAUCAUAGCUGCUGAUUCCGCCGUUAGGACGGAUGUUGAAUUUUGCAUUGCGGCCUUGAUAAAAAUGCUUAAUAGAGGAGACACCUGUGUGUUGAUGAUGAAGACUCCAAUUCCAGCUUCUCUGUGAAGAGAGGGAGUUUGAUCUGGCUGAGUUGAGGCAUCGGUGUAGCAUCGUGUUCCUUGAAUUAAGGUAGAAAACGGUUCUAACCACCUGUCCAGCAUGGCUGUAGAGUAGUUGUUACCAUGAUUUGAGGCGUCAUUGGUUCCUGCAUGUGCAACAUUUAUACCUUGGUUGUAGUUUGUGACAUUCGGAACCGCAUUAGUUGGCAUAGCUGGUGAAGAUGUGUCUACUGUUGUUCUGCUUGGACCAAUCAAUUGUUGGGGUACUGGAGUAGCACCUGCAGGAAGAGGAGAGAAGUACCCGACUGAUAUUUGUCAACAACAUGAUUCCCACUACAACAACCCCAAGCACGGACAACGUCGGCCCAUCAACAACUCACGACGUUGCCCAGACACAAGAGCCCAGACGCGGAGCCCGCAACAGAAAGCCGAACCCGAAGACCCAAGGCCCGGAGUGGGUGUGAACCACAGAAAUCGUUUCCGUGAAGGGAUAAGUAGUUCAGGCGAAAUAGGAGAGGGAUAUAGAAAAAGAACAUUGAACAAUUACUUGUAAAGCACUCUCCCGUUCUAAGAUAUAUCUGUGCUUCCGAUCCUAACUCUGUGCUAUCCUACCCAUAAUCCUUCUGCUUACAAUAUUGUUCUUGUUCUUUUAGUGCCUCAAGGUGUUGAGCACCGGCCGCGGCAGAGCAAUGGCCAAGGGCCACGACUACCUGUUGCAGUAGGGCCUUGUUUAGUUCUUAAAAAAUUUUGUAAAAUUUUUCAUAUUUCCCAUCAUAUCGAAUAUUACGGCAUAUACAUGAAUCAUUUAAUAUAGGUAAAAGAAAUAACUAAUUGUACAGUUUACCUAAGAAAUAACUAAUUGUACAGUUUACUUAUAAUUUGUGAGACGAAUCUUUUAAAACUGUAAUUGAGCAAUAUUUGUCAAAUACAAACGAAAGUGCUAUAGUGCUUAUUUUGCAAAAAAAAAAGUUUGGAACUAAACAAGACCCACAGAGCCUCUCAACGUUGCAGUAAGUAAGCACUACGUGGUAUGUCAGAUUCUGUAAAAGUAUUAGAUAAAAACAAAUAAGCAAGUGCUUACAGGACAUUCAAAGAACAUGAGGUUUGCAAUUGCAAUAUCUACGCCGCAAGCCUCCUUUCCGCCCAACAACCUGCAGCUAUCCACGGGGCAGCAGCAUGCAGGCAAGCCAUAAGGUGUUGAGAGCACCGGCCGCGGCAUCCACGGGCGGCCACGGCAACAAGUCAUCAUCGUGAUCCACAUCGAGGCUUGCGGGUUGCAGUAGUCCACGGAGACCCUCAACGUCACAGCACUACGUGUCCAUGCCACUAUGCCAGUGAUCUGUAAAAACAAUUGAGCAUGCACUGGCUGGCCAUUCAAAUAAUACAGGAGAUUUGCAAUAGCAUUCACUACUACACAAAAACUUCAUGGAGACGGACGAAAAGCAUUAACCGAGACGCUCCAAUGAAAUGUCAUGAUUAAUCGGAUCUAACCCGACGGUCACGUGAAGGUGCCCACCUCGAUUAAUGUUAGCAAAAAAAAUAGAGGCGGACAAAAAGCAUUAACUGAAGCGCUCAAGGUUAUAUGGUUAAUCGGACCUAACCAGACGGUCGGUUAAUAUUUAUGAAAAAACCCAAAAAACAAAUCAUUUAUACAUACAUAUAAUACUUAUUUUUUAUAUCAAUAUUUCAUAAUCUUACAUUAGGUAUUUUAGCUAUUAAAUGAAUUCAAAUGAAAAAACUUUUAACUAUAAAGUUUUAAAUCUUAUUGAGUCUACAACUUUGGUAUAUAAUGUAUCGCCAUCAGAGGUAGUUUGAAAAAAAUUCAAAAAACUGAGCCUUAAAACAUGUGAAUUUUAGACAUAUAUUUGAGACUCUAGGUGACUUUAAAUAAAAAAAUUAUCAAUAUCAAACAUGUAGAUCAGGUGGGCUACUAGAACUUUGGUAUUAACUAUGUGAACAUUAGAGAUCAUUUAGGAAUUCAAAUAUUUAAAUUUCAAAAUGUAUAACCUUUAAACACAUAUUUGAGACUCUAAACAUCUUCACAAAGUUGUAGAUUCUAUUGAGAACUAUAACUUUUCUGUAGACAAUAUCAAUAUUUGAGAUUGUUUGAUAAUUUUAAAUUUUAAAUUUCAAAAUAUGCACACUUAAAACAAUAUUUUCGGAACCUAAACAAUUUCAAUUCAAAAACUUUUCGACUACAAUGUUGUAGAUCUCGUCGAAAGCUACAUUUUUGAUAUAAAGUUUGUCUUCAUCUAAAUUCAUGCAAAAGUUAUGAAUUAUUUUUUGUUGUAACCAUUAAUCCAGGCGGGCAUUGUAACGUUACUGCCUCGGUUAAUAUCGAUUAACCGAGGCGGUUACGCUACAAUGCCUGCCUCGGUUAAUGUAAUAACUGAAGCAGUUACGUUACAAUGCCCGUCUUAGUUAAUAGACCACGAUUAGCUGAGGCGAGCCGUUGGCCCAACCGCCUUCAAAGGGGUUUUCCUCCUAAAAGAUUUUAAUAGUAGUGAUUAUGGCAAUAUACCAUACAUUCAUCAAAUUUUAGCACUUGCUUUAGCUAUUGUGACUAAAUAGGAACAUAUUCCCAAUGUAUGAUCAACACAUCCCAAUGUAUGAUCAGCCUAAAUAGAAAGAUGAAGCUGAUUAGCUAACAUAAAUACGUCUUUUGCUAUGGCAUAGAAGCAAAAACAACUGAUCAAACUGUGAUUAAAAACUAUUGUUGUCUAUCUACCAUCCGUUGACUUUUUAACUUUUUCAACAGAAAGUAACAGAUAAGAAGACAUUUAAAUAUGCAAUUAAAGCUUUUUAUCUUUCAUACAAGCUGCAUGUUUUCUUUGCAUUAGUGCAAUUGAUUGUAUACUAUAUAAAGCUUUAUCUAGAUUAUGCCUGUGUCGAUGAGUGCCUAUACUGUCUUCGAUGAGACUAUCUCCAACAAUCGUCACCCAAAAUACAAGACCCAUUUGUCCUUUGGGUAGCGCUACAGGUAAAAGGUUCCAUACCUAUUUUUAGUCUUCUCCAACAACAAGACCUAAAAGACAACACUCUCUGCAAAUGGGUCUCGAGGAGAGAGGAUAUCUAAAUUUGGGUUAUGCCUCUCCUGAUACCCAAAAUAGGUCUUCUGUAUGGGUACUCUGUUGGAGGCUAUAGGUAUUGUGUUGGAGACCCAUUUUAGGUUUGGGUUCCCAAAUGGGUCUCCCUGUUGGAGAUAGCCUGAGCACUAGAGACAAUAUGGUUAGUGUGAGAGCGACCAAUGUAUUACGGUCCGCAGACCCCAUGUUUAUAUGGCCGCUUGUGCAUAGUGUUCAUCGUGACGAUGCGCUCUCCGUGACUGUGACGCCACGCUCUUAGGUCUUAAUUUUAUGAAGUUUGUUUUUUAAUUAAAUAUCACUUUAAUAUUGGUAUUUAUUUUUUAUAAUAUUGUUAUUUUAUCGUGUGAUCCGUGUGUUUUUAGUAUAAAAAAUGUUAGUUAUCUCGUAGCAAUGUACAGACACGCUACCUAGUAUAAAAAUUAAAUAUCAAUUAUAUAGGUGUAAAAUUGACACCAUUGCACGAAAUCCAUUAAGGAAACACAUGAUAUUGUUGAUACUAUUGCACACAAUCACCUGAAUAUCUUGCCUUCCCAUUUCAGGUAAGAAAACUUAUCGAUACAUUUUCUAAAUUUUUGGGAUCGAAAUGUGAACCCUGAGGAAUUGGAGGUCCCAACAGCAAAAAGUAGAGACCACUACCAUAACCCAAGUCUUAAAACCGCUCCAUCAGAGGAAGGACGGAGAGGGCGCGCAGCGGAGAAGGGUUUGGCGGCUUCGCCAAGAACCAUGGAUUCAGGUAACGAACUGUCCCUCCCUUUUCUCUGGUUACUGCAUGCUCUCCUUUGGUUUAUUGCCCCCCUUUUUCCAUUUCUUUUGGUGAUUUUUACCUGUUUCCACGAGAGGUAGCGUUCUUAAGCGAGAUUUAUGUUCCUUUUUCCGUCUGUUUCGAUUUCCAGAUGCGACAUAUUUCGUAUCCCCUGUUUUUCUUUUCUUUGGUUAUUAAUCAGAACCACAGUUCUGUAGUUUACCUAGAAGUAAUUCAUUGUCAGGAGGUUGUCUAUGAUGCCAAUAACUUUUUACUUGUUUGUGCCACUAUGAAACUCUAGGUGUUAUAACUCUGCAUCAGCAACAGAGUAAUUUGGGAUUCUUGUUUAUCUUGGAGAACACUGAACCCUGCAUAGAAAUUCCAGAUGGCGGUGAUUUUAUUGUUUCUAGUCACUAGUUGUAUGCAUCAUUGUGUAUGUGGACGAAGAAAUCUGAACAGCGGCAAUGAUAUCAAUAUUUAUGUUUUAAACGAAAAAAAUAAUUCUUUGCAUAUCACUAUCAGUCUAUCACACCUUCUCCACUCUGACCAUUUCUGAACCUUUGGAAGACUAUCAUAAUGUGAAUGGACUUGUUCCCUUGACUGGAGGAGGUAAGAGCGUCAGGUUGAUUUUAGUGGCCCAUUGCUGGAACCUGGAAUUCUUUAUCCAGUACUUAUCUGACUGCAGAGUAAUAUAUUUUCUUUUUGGUCUUGUUGGGACACCUGAACCUGCUAGUGAUAAUGAAAACAACAUUCACACAUUACGGACUUUUCAUAGGCGGGAGUGGGUCGCUUUUGUUUUUAAAAGCCCAUAUGUAGCUGAAGUGGUUAGCAAAGCAGUGUGGCUAUAUGAAAUGGUGCAGAUAUAAAACCCUGGUCAAUGAAGAAAAGUGCCUUUUUGAAUAAAAUACUAAUGUUUUUUAGGCUUUCUAUGGGAUACUUUUCAGAAUAUAUUCGAGUAAGAAGAAAUGAAAAUAUCAUGUGUGAUGCAAAGUCUAGAUUGUUUUUAUUGAACCACUUAAUUCUCAGAGUGUAUUAGGCCUUGUUUAGUUCCCAAAAUUUUUCAAGAUUCUCCGUCACAUCGAAUCUUGCGGCACAUGUAUGAAGCAUUAAAUAUAGACAAAAACAAAAACUAAUUACACAGUUUGCCUGUAAAUCGCGAGACGAAUCUUUUGACCCUAGAUAGUUUAUGAUUGGACAAUAUUUGCCACAAACAAAUGAAAGUGCUACAGUAGCGAAAUCCAAAAAUUUUCACGAACUGAACCAGGCCUUAGUUUGAUUCUGUCAACUACAGUGGCAAUACAUGCUUCAGUCAAAUAUUUAAGGUGUUAUCCUAGCUUAUUUUGUUUCAGCUUCUAUUGUUUCCUUAUUGUUUUUCUUGUAAAACUCAACAAUUGGUUAGUGUGCCGUUUUUCCACUAACAGUUCUUGUUUAUAUAAUAUUAGGUUGAAUGGAUCUUUUAAGUUGAUGUAAAAUACAAAGGACAGCAUGGGGACCAACGAUUUUGAUGGUUCAGAACUUGACAACAAGACAACUUCACUUCAUGAUCAGUUCUCAACACAGUUAUCAUUAUCUAGUUCCAAUGAUAGCGAGGAGAUUGCAACUUCUUCAUGUCCUGACAAGGAAUGUCCUUUGGCCAUCCUUAAUUUAUCCCUAAAAAGUUUUAAGCAGGUUGCUACCGAGGAGGAUGCAGUUAAAUGGAGUCUUGAAGAGAACGGUUUACCCUUUGUUCUUUCAGACUCGGAAUGGGGUGAUUCUUCAUAUGCUAGCUCUCUCAGCGAACAAUCAUCUACGAUCAGUACCCCCAGUACGCCAUUCACUGUACAGUCAGAUACUCAGUCUGAGGAUCUUGACAGAACAGAUAUCUGGGUUUCUUCUUUAGAUCUUGAAGCUGAGGAUUCUGCCUUGCUGCCAGACAAGGAACAGCUUCCAGAUGUACUCGGUUUUGAUUUCCCCAGCCCUUCUUUCAGUUCAAUCAGAAGCCUCCAGUUUGGUCCUUCCAGUUAUAGUACAGGAACAUUGCAGGGCAAAGAAGCCAACGACUCUGAUGAGCCAAUAUUCUGGCCAUUUGAGUGCACUUCCUACAACAGUCCUGAAUUUGACAAAUUUCUGAGUGUGUCGCCUCGUAGGAACACAACGGAUCUCAGGUAUGCUGAAGUUCGUCACUUGAAUCCAAUCUUGCAGAGGCUCCGCAAGAACACACUUUCUUCAGUGAAGAAGUGCAUUGAACCGCGUCAAAGGACUAGCAAUUCAGACCCAAAAGGAAGCACGGCCUCCUCCCAAGAGAAGAUUCAGAAGACGCCUGCAGUUCCCUCCAGGUUAAGCAGGACAACAAAAGCAUCUGUACCCUCCAGUCAUCACCAGAAACGAAGGCCACCUCACCUGAAACUUGGUGGUCCAAGAAAGGUUAGCACUCCACAAUUGCAGGCAGAUCAUCAUUCUACUAAAAAGAAUGAAGCAUCAGACGUCCAGAAACUAGCGGAUAAGAAGAGUCGGAUUGAAGAGUUGAUUGGAUUGGAUGAGUUUGAUGGCCAUGAAGGCAUGGGCUCGGAUUCGUCAGACCACCAAUUUAAUCUAUGGAUAUCUCCAAGGUAGUUGGCCUAUGCAAUCAUCCUGCUGUAAGCAACCUACCAUGAGCGAUCCACAUAGGUUCUUCCAUAGGUCUGUCUGUAGCAAUCAGCAGCCAUUACAUUGUGGAUUUAAGUAUCCGUGCAUUAGCAUUGCUGUGAUGUCAAAGGCAGGGUUUUUGUAAACCAAGAUGGUGUGCUUCGUAAUCCUCAAUAUAUAUAGGACCUGUUGUCUGAUGUCAGUUUCAGGUCCUUUUUUUUUGGCAAUGCUAAUCUAGAUCUGACAUCAGAUUCUGGUGCCCUUGCAUCAUGAUGUAGUAUGGCAUAAUGAUAAUGGCAUCUGCAACUGCAACUGCAAAGAUGUAGCAUGUAAAGUUGAAGCUUCCCGUUCAAGUAUCUGCGAAAAGAUGUCAUAUGCAUACAUCUGCAUUAGCAAGUGCAGCAGUACAAGUGCCACUUGUAUUCUUAGCAUUUGUCGCCUACCGCUUUGCUUGGCCAUCCACGCAGAAGUGUUCAGAGGCUUGCAAUGUUUGGUUCACGUUCAGCGGAAUCGACUCAGAUGGCAACAAAUCCUAGAAAGCUGGCGCUGCCGUAUGCAAAAUCCUUUGGCGGCUGCGCUGUUUUGCAGAAACUGAUGGACUACGAGGCGUGAAGAAAAACCCCAUCUCAACACUUUGUGUCGAUGUUAAGAUGAUCUUUUUCGUGUUGGCUGCCGACCACAUCAUAUUUAUAAAAGAGAAAGUUAUAUAGAAAACCUGAUGGUUUCUUAUGUUCCUACGUGGCCCCAUGGAUUGAUUGAUGCUUACUAGAGUUUAGCAUGGGCAAAGUAUCCUGUUCCAUUUCUCUUCUUGAUGACACAGUGGCUACUAGCUAAAUUGGCAUGCACUCCCUCCACUAGAGAAUCUCCAAGAGUUCUCAAUAUUUUGUCCCUCAAAAUAUAGUAUUUGUCAAUUCACAAAUUAGUAUAGGGAAGAAACAAAGAAGUUGUAACAGUCAUGAUCGGGGCAGUCACCGGCGGCCUAGGCAGGGAUGGCGUCUAGGCAGAGAGGGCGGCGGUGUGGAGAGCAGGGCUGGUGGCUAGGGCAGGGAGAGGGGGCAUACCGCAAGAGAGAGAUAGGAAAAGAGUUUUCGCUCAUCUAUUACUUCAUUCAUCUCAUUACAUAUCCCUAAGUAUUUAUAGUCCCUAGAGGAUUUGACUUGCAAGCAAACUAGGAGAUCCUUAUCAAACACGGAUUCUUCUUUCCAUCUAACAAACUCUCAACUUUCUAUCUUAACAAACUCUUUCUAAAAACCAACUGCAAUUAGUAUAUUGUAACCAUAGAUAGCAAUAACGGAGACGACAGCGACGGUGGCCCGUGGCCGUGGCACCCUCUCUGAAAGGUCCUAUUGGUUUUAGUAAUUGAGUGAAGACUUAGGUGGACUAAUAGUGUUUACACAGAAGAUUAGUCCAUAGGUGAAUAAUGAUGAUGGAGAAGCUCAUUGCAUAUGAGACAUGACAUGGAGUCAUGUGACCAAGGUGGAGAAGAUCAAGACGAGGCUUGGUUUAACGGACCGGUUGCAAGUGUGAAGGGUAAGUCGGAGGCUUUGAAGCGAGGGACCGCGUGUGACGGUGAAGCUUGAGCAAGACUUGGCGCCAAUGGACCGAUGCAACGGUGAAGAGCAAGUGAGGUCAAGAUCGAUGAACCAAUACAGUCACAUGAUGAUAUGAAGUGGAUCGUAUUAUUUGUUGAUUGGUUGGUGCAUGUGUUGCAUCAACAUUGGAGGAGGUGGAAUGGAAGGCGCAAGGUAAAGGUAUAACCUAGGGCAUUUCUAUUUCACCAGUAAUGAGUGUGUAGAGAAGUUUAUGACUGGAUUUAGGAUAGAUGGCCGUACUAUCAAGAGGGGCAAACUUGUUUGCAUAUCGAUUAUCUAGUGCCACUUGAGCGAUCUAACUCUGCAUACAUGUUAGGAUCGAGUGGCAUGGCAAGUUUGAGAGGUUAACUCCUUUGAAAAAAUAUUUGUGAAAUGCUAACACACAUGCACUUGGUGGUUUACACAUGGUGGUGUUGGCACAUUUGCAAAGGAGGUGGAUCUUUCCAGUAAAAUCCUAUGUAGUCAUAGGUUUUGUCGUUCCCACAAGCUUGUAGAGAGGGAUUCAGCAUUUUCGUGAAAAUAAAGUGCUCAUUUUCCAUUGCACCGGAGAAAAAUUUUAGAGAAAUCGUGGGAGCACUCACCGGACGCUGGCUGCAGAGGCAUCGGAUGCUGGGCCAACGUCCGAUGCGUGCUGGCUAAAUGGCACAGUUUUGAGUGGUGCAUCGGCACAUCCGACAAGUUCACGUCGGACCUUGGCCAGACACUGUUGAGCAUCCGGUGCCGAGUGAUGUCAGCAAGGACAUGAGCCAGGGUUUCGUUCGGUGUGCGCGUCGGACGCUGGCUACGUCCAAUGGCACUCUGUCAGACGCGUCUGAUGCCUCUCUGAGAAGUUUUGAACCUCUUUGAGGUGUGGACCGUCGGAGCGUUCGGUGCUACUAUUUUAGGUGCACGUGCGAAUUAGCCAUUGGUGGCAACAGUUGAGUUCAAACGGUUAGUGACACGCUGAUAUGCAGUAAGGACUCCGAUGGCUCAAGUUUGACCAAUUGUUGAGCACCCUCACGCCUUGGUGGCUUGUGUAGGUGUGCUUGGAUGCCCUCUAACUCACUUGUGCUUGCUAGAUUGUGAAUCAAUAGCGACUGAGUGAUUCUAGUGUGAUUGCAUUAAGAAAUUGCAUCGAGUGGCAUUAGAUAUUCGUGUUGCAAGACGGUGGUGCUUGUUACUCUUGGAGGUUGCCACCUCCUAGACGGUUUGGUGGCUUGUGACUCUAUCGAAGCACACAAAAAGAUUAUGUGAUGCUCCAGAGAAGUGAUUGUGAGGGGUAAGGUACUCACCCCACGGGGAUCGCGAAGAGCAACUCUAGUAGAACGAGACGCGAAGGGCGACAAGUGGUCCGGAAAGGUAAAGUGCUAGAGCUUGUGGUAAGCACUCAACGUGGGAGAGUAUGACUUGCGGGUCACCACUAGCAAGAGGACCGAUGACAGCCUUGGAGUUGUCUCAACGGGGACAUAGCUUGGUGGCAACCAAGUGAACCUCGAGAGAAAAUCAUCAUGUCAACAUUGUUGUUCCCAUUGGUUUGCAAGUCUCUAACACAAGCUUGUAUUUACAAUCAUAUACUUGUGCUUAUGUAGUUGCUCUUGUAACUAGUUUAGCUUGUGUAGCUUGCUAGUUACCUUCUUGCUUAUGUAGCUAGAAGUAGUUCCUUUGCGUGGCUAAUUUGGUUUGUGUAACCUUAAUAGUCACAUUUCUUAGUUUGUGUAGCUAAGUAGUUUGCGCUCUCUAAUUUGGCAUUAGUUGCCUUGUUAUUGAGCAUUGCUAGAAGCUUUGUGCUUUUGUUUACUACUUGUGUAGGAGUUCCUCGGUUUGCAAAGUACUAGUGGCAUAUGUUUGUAUGAUCUUGCUCCUAGAUUUGGUUAGGUGAGCUCUUGCUAAGGAAGCACCAUGUUUGCUUAUUUAAGAUCUUUUUACAAGGUAUUAGAGAACUUAGAUAGAGGGAUAUAGUCUUGGCUAGACCGAUAGUUUUAAUUCCGCAUUUGUUUCGAUAAGCCGGCACGAUAGGUUUUAGAAAGGACUAUUCACCUCCCCUCUAGUCCGCCAUCUCGACACUUCACCCUCCCCUUUUAGGCGCACACCCCUCCUAGGGCAGCCUAGCUGCGCGAGGUGUGUGGCAGCGGUGGUGCCCCCUGCUUGGUCCUUGGUUGGCCCGUUUUCUCCGCCGAUGAGUACAACCCGUGUUGGGCAUGUGACAUAAGUCAUCUCCAAAAGUUUCCUAUAUUUUUAUCUUAAAAGUUUUUUUCUCAAUGCUUUUUUUUUCUACGAUCUGGUCUUAUAUUUUACAUUAGAAACUCUAAAUUUAUUUUUGUACUUGUUUAAGCUCUUCCACUAGAUCUUUUUCUUGAGCUUUUCUUCACAUGAAACCCUGUCUUUUCUUCUUUUCCUUUUCCACCUCAUCCUACUGUUGGGUAUUCUUAACAUCAUUACCAAAAGUAGACUAAGUUCUCUAAAUCUAGUAACGGUGCCAAAAAUGCCAAACCUAUCCCUCACACCACUUAAGCCAAGUUGUCAUCCCCAGCAUGAUAUAAGAGACGCGGUAUUGAAAUAUGCAAUUGCUCUUCUAAAUAAAUAAUGAAUGAGAUCUGCAAACGCACAGAUUAAUACCGAUGCAGCAUUUUAACCGGGAAGUAUUCUAGGUAUCGUUAUUUAUAUUUUUACCACUGGGAAGGGAUUAGCAAUCAUCAAUAUUGAUUACAGAAUAGAAUAUGAGAUUGAGCAUCUAUCAUUGCAUGUAUAAUUGAGAACAUUGUAUCUAACUCAUCAUACAGGGAUAAGUGUCACAUAAAAGAUAUAUGAAAUAAUAAUAGUGACAAGGAUAACUAAUCUGAUCUAGCCACAUAAUAAAUAUGAUAAGCACCUCAAUUAGAUACUCUAGAAAGUCAUUAGCAUGGUAUUAGAACGAACUACAAGAAUAUUCCCUAAGUUAUUCUCAACUAUAUAGUCUAGCAUUAUCAUAGUUAGUGCAAGCAUACUUAGCAAUCCUUGCGAGACAAGACUACGCCCAUGCAUAGUGAUAUUAGCAAGGAAUAUGAGAAACAUAGCAAUCACUCCCCUGUAAUAAUGUUGCUCUGCCAGCCCAAUACACGAGAGGGGGACUAUAUAAGAAUCAAUGAAGCUGUCACUAUCACGAACGACCCCACGAUCUGGCAUAUUGGGUACAAUCGCAGAUAAAUACGGUAUAAGCACCACGCCUACACAAUAUCUAUCAUUUACCCAUGGAUCCGAUGGAUAAACGCUAUACGAUCCUAAGCAUGUAUAUAGAUCGAAUCUAACUAAGCCAAGUACAUAACUAUGAUAAACUAAAAACAAUAUAAUCUUGAAUAUAAGCAAGUAGAGCAAAGUCAUAAGCAAUAUAUUGAAGUAGAACAAAGUCAUAUUCAUAAUAUUGAAGAACAAAGAUAAUUAGAAAGUAAUUAGAAGCACAAUUAGAGAAUUACCAAGAAUCCUCUUGACAGAUCCGGAAACUAAUCGAAGAUUGACUCCUUCUAGUUCUAAUCCUAUGUAGCUAUGCUAAUCUAGAUAUUUAAUUGAUGUGGUGGCUCUAAUCUUGAUCAGGGGCUUCUUCUCCCUUGAUGGAACAAUGAAUUAGGGUUGAGAGGCUCUCUCCUCCAGGGGCCAGAGGGUCUGGUUUUAUAGUCCCUUCAAGUGAAUAUGGGCCAUUGGAUCAAACCGACAUAGAUUGUAUGGUUUAGAUUCAUCCUUUAGGUCGGUAGAGAUCUCCCACGAAGCAGAGUCCUGAUUGGACUUAGGGAGGGGGCGGGCGCCCAGGGCAGGAGGGCGGGCGCCCUGCCUCUGGCCCCGUUUCGCCUCCGCUUCGGUCUCGUGGCUUCUGGAGUCUUCUAGAUGUAAGAUAAUUGCGCGGCACGUUAAUAUCUCUAUGUAAUCCCGACGUGUGGGCCUUUCUUCCGUAUUUCCUGAUAACCCCCUGCAGAAAUAGACAAACACCAAAACUCGUGGAAUUCUGUCAGAUAAAAUCCUAAGUCUAGAUGUUGAUUUCAUUUGGAUCCUUUUCUUUAUUUAUUUGAUAAUUAAAUUUGAUACUUAAGGACCGUCAACACCUACUUAUCCGGAUGCACGGUACCAUGCCACACGUAUAUUUACGCUAAGGUGACCAUGGUGUACCAAGUGUAGAAAGAUAGGGAAGAGAUAUGAGAAACUCUUGGAGGUGUUUUUUGUUUUAAAAAAUAUGGAUAAGAAAUGAAUAUGAGACACUCUUGAAGAUGCUCUUACAAAUUAUAAGAUAUUUUUGGCAUCUCUAGAUACAUAAUUUUUAUUAUUAUAUGUAGGCAUAACAAAAGUUAUAAAUCUAAAAGAAUCAAAAUGUCUUAUAAUUUGAAAUAUAAUGAAUAACUCUGUUAGAUUUGAUCAAUCAGAGGGUGCCAACAUGACUCUCGCCUAUCUUAACCACGCCCACAUUGAUCAUGUUCUCGACAUUUUUUGUAUUUUGAAUUUUAAUAAAUUAACCAAAAUUUGAGUAAAUGUGUUCCAUUAAUUUCUUGGGUUUUUUGGUUCCGUGCCAUUACUAUUUUCUCUCUUUUGAAACAUGCCAUUACAAUUCGUCUUAUGGGAAGCAGGCCAUUACAAUUUUCGCGUUCUUUGAAACAUGCCACUAGAUACGAUUGACGAUGUAUCAGGCCCACCUGCAGGCCGACGUGGCAUACGAAGACCGUAUACGUACGUCUCCCGUGCCCAAGGAAACGGACGCCGUCUAUUCCUCUCUCCCGUCCUUCUCUUCCAGUCGGUCUUCCCCACCCGUCCUCCAGCUCGAAGGAAAGGCCGGAGAACCCUAACCGAGGGCGAGCGCCGCCGCCACCGUGGUCGAGGGUCAGGCAGGCGAGGGUGGGCGCAGGCGGGCCGCAGGCCGUAGGCGCGCAGGUUUUCUUGGCGACGAGCGCAGGCCCGGGCGCAGCCAGGCGGCCUCGGCGGCGCGCAGGCGAGCAGGCGGCCUUGGCCUCGUUUGCAGGCGGGCUAGGCGGAUGGAGGACGACGACGGAAGGUAUUAGUCUCUCCUUGUGUCGAAUUGAGUCGAUUCGGAUUCAAUUCAUGGUCUGAUUUAUGCAUUUGUGUUCUAGGGUUGCACUGUUCGCGCUAGAAAUAAAAGUGGAAGGAUUCUGUAGCAUAGACUCUGUUGGUAGAAAAGCUUACACAAAAGGUCGUGUGCUUAAGUGGGAUGUGGAGUUAGGCUUGUUUUCCUUUGAGCAGUUGAUGACCAGAUUGAACAAUGCUGUCAACUGGUCUCCUAGCCAGUAUGCUGUGCUUUGGUUUCCUGACAAAAGGUUGUCUAAAGAUGUCAGACUAGAAAACCAGCUUAAGAUGGAUGAAAUGUUUGACAUGUAUAAGGAUCAGAUGAAAUGCCAAAUUAUCGUAGGAGUGUUUGACAAUAGUGUUUCCCAUGUUGAUGAAUUUGAUGAAUUUGAUGAUCUUGAGCCUUUAAGCUUCCUUUCUCCUGAGAUGUGCAAUGGCAGCCUACAACUUAGCAAUUUGAUCCCAAAUCCAGCUGUUCAUAGUGCUAACCAGCCAUCUAGCAGUAACCCAAAUGUUCCCUUGGAGGCUGAAGUUCUGCCUCAACUUGAGCCUGACAGGGAGCCUGACAUGUUUGACAAUACUGAAGAGUAUGUUGGCUAUGAUGAUGAGGCAAUGUACAUGACAUUAUCUCCUACACAGCCAUCUAGCAGUGCAGCACCAUCUAGCAAUCCACCUCCAUCUCAUGUUCAUGUUUAUGAAAAUGCUGAUGCUAUUCUUGAUGAGACAGAGGUCACUGAUGCCGACCCUGAAGAGAUCCAUGUUAUCCAUGAUCCAGAGAACCCCAAGAUUGUGAAGGGAGAAUUGUUUCCUGAUAUUGUAUCAUUCAGGAAAUCUAUUAGGCACCAUGCUGUGAAGAAAGGGUUUGUGUUGACGGGUAUAAAAACAGACAAAACAAGGUUUCUUGCAAAGUGCAAAGCAGAUGGCUGUCCUUGGCGCAUACAUGCAUCCAGAUUAUAUGAUAACAAGACAAUACAGGUAUGUUCUUGUCAUCUAGUAAUUGUUAUAUCUUUGUGAUUCUUAUGUUUUAAUUUUGCUUAACAUUUAUUUUAUGUGCAUAUUAAAACAUUAGUGGAUCAUCAAGCUGAUAAGUGUCCAAGUACAAAAUUUACAGAAAAUAAGAUGGCCUCUCAGGACUGGUGUGCAGAUAGGUUAUCAGAUUGGUUGAAGAAGAACCCAACAAAAGAGCCAACAGAUUGUAAGGACAAGUUGGAAGAAGACUAUGGCAUCAAGCUGAAGUAUUCAAAGGCUUGGUCUGGUAUGAUGGCUGCCUUAGAUAAAAUUCAUGGUAAAUAUGAAGAAAGCUUCCAAUUGUUGUUCAAUUGGGCUGCUCAAAUAAAAAUGGUGUCACCUGGUAGCAUUGUAGAGGUAGAAGUAGAAAAAAUUGGUAAGAAAUACAGGUUUAAGAGGAUGUUUGUUGCCCUCAAACCUUGUAUUGAUGGAUUCAUUGCUGGUUGUAGACCAUUUUUGGGAGUAGAUGCAUCUAGUUUGAAUGGUAAAUACAAAGGGCAAUUGGCAUCAGUAACCAGUGUAGAUGGACAUAAUUGGUUGUAUCAUGUAGCAUAUGGUAUUUUUGAUUCAGAAACUGAGGAAAACUGGCAGUGGUUUUUGGCACAGCUGCAUAGAGCAAUUGGGGAUGUACCAAAUCUAGUAAUUUGUUCAGAUGCUUGCAAAGGUCUUGAGAAAGCAGUUGGAGCAGUUUUUCCAACAGCUGAAAACAGGGAGUGCAUGAGGCAUUUGUACCAGAACUUCAUGAAGCACUACUCUGGUGAUGUUUUUACAGACCACCUGUAUCCUGCUGCUAGGAGUUACACUGAUGGGUUGUUCAACUGGCACAUGAAUAAGAUUUAUGAGUUUGCUCCAGAUACUUUGACAUACCUUCAGACUUAUCACAACAGGAAAUGGUACAGAUGUGCUUUCUCAGAACAAAGCAAGUGUGAUUUCUUGACCAAUAAUGUGUCUGAAAGCUUCAAUGCACAGGUGAAGAAGUUCAAAGGUUUAUUGUUACAUGAACUUGUUGAUAGGAUAAGAGAGCUUAUAAUGGAGAAGAGAUAUCUGAGGAAGAAAAUUAGUAGAGAGUGGUCAGAUGGAAUCCUCCCAGGUGUGAUGAAAGACUUGAACUUGCUUAGCCAUAACAUAAAGUUGGUGAAGAUACAACCUUGUGAUGAAUAUGUGGCUGAAGUGACUAUUAGGGAUGACUGGGGGAAUCAGAGGAGGAGGACAGUGGACCUAGAGAACCACAAUUGUGGGUGCAGGGAGUGGCAGGUUACAGGGAAGCCAUGCAAACAUGCUAUACCUUGGAUACUUGCUAUAACAUGUAAAUAAUUGUUUUUUCUUUUUUGCUUGACUUAACCAAACACUUGUGUUUCAAUUGCAGGAAGAGGCCAACUCAAGAUGAUGCUGGACCUUCACAACCCAAGAAAAAGAAAGCUCCUAAGAAGAGUGUUGUUGCCCAGAAGAAAAAGAAGACCCCGGUCAAGAAGAAGUUGAUGAAGGCACAAGCUAACCCACCACCAGUUGUUGCCACCAGCUUGAGGCAGCUGAUUUUCAAUGAGCAGUGAGAUAAUGUGCAACACUAUGUAAUUUGGGCACUUUUGGUAGUGCCACUUUUGGUUUCAUGAGUACUGUAAUGUGCAGCACUAUGUAAUUUGGGCACUCCUAAGUACUGUAAUGUGCCACUCCUAAGUACUGUGAUGUGCUACUACUCCUAAGUACUGUAAUGUGUGGAUGCCAACUUGGUUAUCUAUGAAAUUUGGGUUGAACUCUAUUAUUAUCAUGAAAUGUUGCUGAAAUGGAGACAACAUGCUGCUGAAAUUUUCCAAAAUUAUGCUAAAAAUGGAGACAAGAUGCUGCUGAAAUUUUCCAAAAAUUAUGCUUAAAUUGGAGACAAUAUGCUGCUGAAAUUAUGAAAUUUGGGCACCAUUCAACCAAAUAUUCAAUUGCAUAUAAACAUUGAUCAGAGAACAAAGGCAAUGAUUCAUUAAUGGGUGGGAAACCCAUAAUCCAUUACAAAGAUACUACAUUACAUUCAGUUCACUUCAUCAUGCGGGCAACAACUAUGCCUAUUACCACACCAACAAGAACACCUACUGCAAUAUAUACAUCCAGCACAAUCUGCAUUUUCUUCUUAUUACCCAAGUCUUGCUUGUCUCCAAUUUGGGACUUCACUGAUCGAAGAUCCUCAACCACACUGUCCAGCGUUUGCUUCAUCUCAUACACUUGUUGCUUCAAAUCACCAAGAACAUCCCCAGAUGCUGAAUGGAAGGGCGAUUGGACCUGCAUAUGUCUCUGCUUUUGUUGAUUCACAUACCAGGCUGCAUACUGCUCCUCGGAACGGAUCCAACCACAAGUUGUUGGAUCACCCUGCACACAACCAAAAUCAAUCAAAAUGAAAUCAAAAAGAAGAAAAAAUAAGGCCAUCAACUCCUGACCUUUACGUUGUUUGGGCACUUCACAAACGGGACAUUCUUGGAGUGAGCUUGCUUGCUCACGAUUCGGAUCAGAGGGACAUGGCACUCAGGGCAGUCAAGUAGAGGGCACUGCAGCCUUCGAGUGGCAGCCGUGGUCGAGCUGGAGGAGGUCGCCAUGGGCUGGGCCCUUGGGCACGUCGAGCUGCCCCGGGCGCUGAAGCUGCAGCAGGCGCCGAAGCCGCGGCCGCGCACAAGCCGCGGCCGCGCUCAGGGCCAGCCCCCGAGCCCCCGUGCCCUAGGGAGCCGCCGCCGUGCCGCCAGUGAGCGAGCCGCCGCCGCCCGGGACGAACAGAGAGAGAUGAGAGCGCUCCACUUCGAGACACAGAGAGGAUAACGGGAAAAAUGACGGAGAGAGAUGAGAGCGCCCCAGAUGCCGUUUUCUUACGUACGUAUACGGUCUUCGUAUGCCACGUCGGCCUGCAGGUGGGCCUGAUACGUCGUCAAUCGUAUCCAGUGGCAUGUUUCAAAGAACGCGAAAAUUGUAAUGGCCUGCUUGCCAUAAGACGAAUUGUAAUGGCAUGUUUCAAAAGAGAGAAAAUAGUAAUGGCACGGAACCAAAAAACCCUAAUUUCUUUGGUGUCCUCAAAUCCAGUUUUGUCAACUCUACUGUUUGUCCUUUCAAACACUCGCAUCGCAUACGCUGAAAACCUACUUGAUUGAUUCUGUUCUCACAUUGGGCAAAAAAAAUCUGUUACCCCCUUCAAAAAAAUAUCUGUCACUGUGGAGAAAAUUGCAUUGCCUGCCAAGAAUUUCCCAUCCUCAGAAAAUAAAUAAAGAAGGAAAAUACUAGGAAACAGACAAAAGGCAGAAUCAGGAGGCUAUACGAAAGGAGGAGAAAGAGAGAACAAUCACGGAGUCCUCUUUCUUGUUGGGCACUCGGGCAGCGCGGCCCCCUUAUCUCCAGGGACCAGGGGAGGACGCACACCAACGCACCGCCCUUCCUUCCCUCCUCCUCCUCCUCCUCCUCUCUCUCUCCUCGGAAGGUGAGCACCCUCAGCGAUCCCCUCGUUGUCUUCUGUGUGUGAGUUCUUCGUUCUUGGGGGCUCCUGAUUCUAGUGUCGAGAUUUCCGUUCCUGUAUACAUGGAUGGAUUAGGAUUAGCAAUCGUUGUCGGUGGGCUCGAUUCUUGUGCCGCAGAAUCCCUGGAUUAUUUUUGGGGAAAUUCUUGAUUUUUUUGGUUAGUUUUGGUUGCGGAUAAGUGGCAAGGUCCAUCUUUCUCCGCCUUUAGAUAUAAUCUAUGUCAAUGCGAGGUUGAAACACUAAUUCAAUCGGUAAACGGAACUAGGUUGUGAUUUUCUCUGUCGCAGAAAUUGAAACACCUUUUCGUGAGGCCCGCAAUUCCAAAUCUUUGCUGGCUGUAUCGGUGCCCGUGCCCCUAUCCAUCCAGAUUGCCGCGGAUUGAUUUGCUACGAAGCGGGAGAACAUCUACCGCUAUUUUUAAGCCUGUCUUCCUGUUUCUAGCACAUUUUUUUUUUCCAUUUUUGCUUGUCACGGUUUAUUCUCUAUUUUCUGGCACAUUUUGUUUUUUUUGCAAUUUGUUUGGGGUCAGAUGGAUCAAGAGCAACAUACUGAUGAUUGGCAUGCACUAUUCCUGCGCAUGAUUAGAAUUGACCCGUUGUGUUUAUCUGAGAAUUUUAGAAGAUUGGUUUGUAACAUUAAUUAACCUUUGUAAUGUCUUGGUGCAGGUUAAGGGACGGUAUUUCUGACCAUGGCAGGGACCUUACUCCAGUCAGUUGCCCUCGGAACAACAUUCGGGGGUCGCAUAAGCACCCAGCGUUGGAGGUCCCAUGGCGCCAGGAGGCCUGCCUCUAUGUUGGCAAUGUCACUUAGCCGCCCCGUCAAGAUGUCAGCAUUUGUGGGUCUAAGAUCAGUGCAUAGCUUCUCGGUCACACCCACGGUGUCCAAUUCCAGGUCGACAGUUGCAUCUUACAGGUCAUCUCGACGGACAAGACGUUCUCGUUUUGUUACUCGGGCAAUGUUUGAGAGGUUCACGGAGAAAGCUAUUAAGGUCAUCAUGCUUGCGCAAGAGGAAGCAAGACGCCUGGGGCACAACUUUGUUGGAACUGAGCAGAUUCUCUUGGGUCUGAUUGGAGAGGGCACUGGUAUUGCAGCAAAGGUGCUCAAGUCCAUGGGAAUAAAUCUCAAGGAUGCACGUGUGGAGGUGGAAAAGAUUAUUGGCCGUGGCAAUGGUUUUGUUGCUGUUGAAAUACCAUUCACACCACGUGCGAAACGUGUUUUGGAGCUCUCCUUGGAGGAAGCUCGCCAAUUAGGUAUGUUGUUUAUCAAGGCUUCUUGUGAAAUGUUGUCCGUGUUGCGUUGUCUUAAAUUUCAUUUCCUAUUCUCUCUAAUUCAUGCACGAAAACAUAGUAGAAAGAAUUGCUGGUCAAGGUCCUUGUGAUACCCUUUUGGUCCUGUCUUCUAAUUUUACUUAUUCGCUACUCGAAAAAAAUAUAUUUGAAGAAUGCCUCUAUUGACCAAUGUUCUGUUUUCCCAAAAAGGAAUUUCAUUUUCCUAUUACUUCUGCGCUUGUGCAUUUUUCUAGAGAGUUCUAGAAAGCUCUCAGUUAGCAUAUUUUUGGGAGAAACUUUUUGACAAAAAUACAGUACAGUGUACAAAUGGUUGAUUAUCAGAUACAAAGAUAUCAAUUCAGAGCUUCCAUUGCACAUUCCCAUAAAUAUUGAAUACAUUAUUCUUAACUGAUGUCAGAGGGACCCUGAUGUGAUAAUGGACAAUUGAUUGCAAUAUUUGUAUGUAGUUAAUCUUCCAGGUCUGUCUGUUUUAUGUCACCUUUUUAAGUAUUCAAGUGGAAGUUGCGAAGUACAAUGAAGCAUCAUAAUCUCUUUGCAGUCCACUUAUUGUGGUGCUAUUUUAUAUCUUCAUGUCGAACACAUUUUAUAUCUUCAUCAAAGAAACUUUUGUAGUAACACAAGCUGAAAAAUAACAAUGACCCCAGUGACAGGUGGCUUCAAUCCCCAUUUAUCAGCAUCACAUUUGAUAUUUCCAAACGUCUACAUAUUUGCAUCAUCAUUAAACUAUUUUCCCAUUCAAUAAUUUAGGUCUUAGGAUGCAAUUGAACUAAUAGAUGCAUUUCUUUCUUCAUUGUCCUGCUUUGUGCACCUAUAAAGAAAUUUUCUGCUGUGCACAUCUAUAUGUAAAGUAAUCCCACCCUGCUUUCUCAUCUAAUAUGGUAACAGACGAAUACCUGUUAUCUUGUUCCUCAACUAAAUUACAGGUACUUCUUAUGUUGGUAAUUGUCAAGUAAUUUAUCCUAACAAGAAUAUCAUUUCCUUCUAUGCACCAAACCAUAGCACACUCCAUUUCCUCAUUAUAUUUCAAACUUUUAAUAACUUCCAUAGAAGAUUUAUCUCAAGCACCAAAUACUUGCUUCCCAGGACAUAAUUAUAUUGGAUCUGAGCACCUGCUUCUUGGACUGCUUCGUGAGGGUGAAGGUGUGGCGGCUCGUGUUCUUGAGAGUCUUGGAGCUGAUCCCAGCAAUAUCCGUACACAGGUAAACCUAUAUCUGAUGUCUAUUUCUGACACUAGUGAAAAGAAAUUUUGUUUAUUAGCCGUUUCUUUAAUGUCAUGGACCUCUAUAGGUUAUUCGAAUGAUUGGUGAGACCACAGAAGCUGUUGGUGCUGGAGUUGGAGGGGGCAGCAGUGGUAAUAAGAUGCCAACUCUUGAGGAGUAUGGAACUAAUUUAACAAAAUUAGCAGAGGAGGUAAUAUUUCUGACCUACUGCAUUAUAACCAGCACAAGUUCUGUAAUAGAACUCAUGUUGAUCAUAUCUGCAGGGAAAAUUAGAUCCUGUUGUUGGAAGGCAGCCACAGAUUGAGCGUGUGGUACAAAUUUUAGGCAGACGAACUAAGAACAAUCCCUGCUUGAUUGGAGAGCCUGGUGUUGGAAAGACUGCAAUUGCUGAAGGACUUGCUCAACGCAUUUCUACAGGCGAUGUACCUGAAACAAUAGAAGGGAAAAAGGUAUACUUUUUGCAUCAUCUCAAAGCAAUUAUGCAAUAUAUAUCUAUCUAUUUAUAGUAUUUUGCUGUCAAUUAAAUCUACAUCUAUUAUCUAUUAUUUACAUAAGAGCUUGAAUUGUAUCUUGUUCUUGUAUACUGUUGAUGAGGGUGCAUGCAUGUGUUGCUCUUUUCUCUCAUUUUUCUUGAGUUAUCCCAUCCAGUGGACUUUUAAGUUUGUAAGCACAGUUUAGUGAUUGAAGAACCUGCUCCAUAACCAUUGGAGAGAUUGUAGAAAUAAUCAUCUAUACUAGGCAGCACACUGAUUGAGCAAAUAGAAGAAGAAAGUAUGUUAUAAAUAUUUGUACUCUUUUGUGAUACAUUAAGUCAGAAUUUCUAAGUGAUUAAUCUCGUCUCACUGGUCGAUUCUGUGGUCUAGUAAUUGUUUCAACUGGUUGUAAAUAUACUUUUCUGCCACAUUUCUGUAUUCUUUUGAUGGGAUUGUGAGGAAAUGAUGGAUAUUCCUUCAACCAAUUUACCACAGGUCAUUACCCUUGACAUGGGACUUCUUGUUGCUGGCACAAAAUACCGUGGAGAAUUCGAAGAAAGAUUAAAGAAGCUGAUGGAGGAAAUAAAGCAAAGUGACGAGAUAAUACUCUUUAUUGAUGAAGUUCACACUCUGAUAGGAGCAGGAGCAGCCGAAGGUGCUAUAGAUGCUGCUAAUAUCUUGAAGCCUGCGUUGGCCAGAGGUGAAUUACAGGUGUGUAGAUAACAUGUUCCUAUGAUGUGGUGAACAUUCUCUUAUCAGUUCUUUUGGAAUAAGUCCAGUAUCUUGCUGUCCUUCAAGAUGAGCUUUCCAGCGUUCUUGCUUGUAAUGAGGUUGUUAUGACUAACCUAUUAUGUUUAAUUGCAGUGCAUUGGAGCGACUACACUUGAUGAAUAUAGGAAGCACAUUGAGAAAGACCCAGCACUUGAACGGCGGUUUCAACCUGUGAAAGUGCCAGAGCCAACAGUAGAUGAAACCAUUGAAAUUCUCAGAGGACUGAGGGAACGAUAUGAGAUCCACCAUAAACUUCGUUACACUGAUGAAGCUCUGAUUGCAGCUGCAAAGCUGUCAUAUCAAUAUAUCAGGUCUGUUAUCUGUGAACUGUAAAUAAAAAUAUAUCCAUGCAUCAGCAGAAAAUGUAAACACCACAAAGAAAAUUAUGUUAGAACUUUAGCUUGCAUCUCUGGAAAAACAACUAUGUUUGUCCAUCCACAAUUUAUUUUUGCUACUUUAUUGCAUCCUAAUGAUCAUCUGACAGCAUAUUUCUGUUUACAGUGACCGUUUCCUCCCAGAUAAGGCAAUUGACUUGAUUGAUGAAGCAGGUUCCCGUGUUAGGCUACAGCAUGCACAGGUACGAAGUCAUCUGCUUUUGUUUAUUUGUAUGCUUAAUUCAUGCAUGCAUGCCCUAAACAUUUUCUAAAUUUUACUUUUGGUGCAGGUUCCUGAGGAAGCAAGAGAGCUUGACAAGGAGCUUAAACAAAUCACGAAACAGAAGAAUGAAGCUGUUCGUAGCCAGGAUUUCGAGAAGGUAACUGACUAUGGAUAAUCUGUUUGCAUCUCUUUCAAGUUUGUGACACAACUUAAAUGUUGCCUGACCUCCUGAAGAUCAUAUUAACUUAUAAUUUCCAUCCACCAAAACUGUUCUAUAUACAAUAGCUUGUACAUAGAAAAUAUUCAAUACAGUUGGGAGAUUACAAAUAAUUUUGGAUGAUUCAGUAAUUCUUGUUCAUUUCAUCAAUCAAUGCUCUUACUUGAGUGAAAUUUCCCAUUUCCAUUUUAGGAUGUACUAACACAAUCAGAAUUAACAAAAAAAACAGUUGUUACAUGCUUUUGAUUUUAAAUAGUUAUCAGUGAUAGUUUUAUUUGAAUGAUAGUAACAUGCCCCUUAAUGUUCAUUCGACUAUGCACUUUCUUUCUUCCUGUUCUUUUGUUUAUUUAGCAAUUUGCACCUGCUGCAAUUGGAUAUGUGGAUGCCCUUGUUCUGCCUUCUCCCUGUACUUCUGAUUACUUAAUUGUUUGCACCUUUUCUAGAUACAGAUGUUCUUUCAUAGCUAAUUUCCCUUUCUAAAUGUUAUGCCUUUAGGCUGGCGAAUUGCGAGACCGUGAAAUGGAAUUGAAGGCCCAGAUAACAGCCUUCAUUGACAAGAGCAAGGAAUUGAGCAAAGCAGAGGAAGAGUCUGGAGAGACAGGACCUAUGGUCAAUGAAGCAGAUAUCCAGCACAUAGUAUCGUCAUGGACUGGCAUCCCUGUGGAGAAGGUUUCCAGCGAUGAGUCAGAUAAGCUUCUUAAGAUGGAAGAGACUUUGCACACGCGUGUCAUUGGCCAAGAUGAGGCUGUGGUAGCCAUUAGUCGCUCCAUCCGCCGUGCUCGUGUGGGUCUCAAGAACCCCAACAGGCCAAUUGCAAGCUUUAUUUUUGCAGGUCCCACCGGCGUUGGGAAGUCAGAGCUUGCAAAGGCUCUUGCAGCCUAUUACUUUGGCUCUGAGGAGGCUAUGAUCCGGCUUGAUAUGAGUGAAUUCAUGGAGAGGCACACAGUAUCCAAGCUGAUUGGUUCACCUCCAGGAUAUGUAGGAUACACUGAGGGUGGCCAGCUGACAGAGGCAGUUCGACGGCGGCCAUACACAGUUGUGCUCUUUGAUGAGAUUGAGAAGGCACACCCGGAUGUCUUCAACAUGAUGCUUCAGAUUUUGGAAGAUGGGAGAUUGACUGACAGCAAGGGAAGGACUGUGGACUUCAAGAACACACUACUGAUCAUGACCUCAAAUGUAGGGAGCAGCGUCAUCGAGAAGGGUGGGCGGAAGAUCGGAUUUGACCUUGACUCUGAUGAGAAGGACAGCAGCUACAGCAGGAUCAAGAGCCUGGUCAUCGAGGAGAUGAAGCAGUACUUCCGACCUGAGUUCCUCAACCGUCUCGACGAGAUGAUCGUGUUCAGGCAGCUGACCAAGCUCGAGGUCAAGGAGAUCGCGGAGAUCAUGCUCAAGGAGGUCUUUGACAGGUUGAAGGCCAAGGACAUAAAUCUUCAAGUGACCGAGAAGUUCAAGGAGCGGGUGGUGGACGAAGGCUACAACCCAAGCUAUGGUGCACGCCCGCUGAGGCGAGCCAUCAUGAGGCUGCUGGAGGACAGCCUUGCUGAGAAGAUGCUCGCUGGGGAGGUAAAGGAGGGCGA